UAGGAAAGAGCGUAAGAUAAAAGCCAAAAUCACUAACAAAAAAUGGAUUAGCAACAAAAGAAUCCAAUUCUUUUUUUAUUUAUUUAUUUCCCGAUAUAAAAUAAUGAAACUUAUUAAUGGAAUGACUAUAAGAAAGAUCCAUUCAUAGGCGAUUUUUUCUGCUCCUAGAAAUCCUAUGCUAACAAGUGUAAUCAAAGAAAUUACUAGGUUUCUAAUAAAUAGUCUAAGUGCUCUCCUCUCUUUACUUUGUCGCAUCAUUUUUUUAUUUUGUCACAGAAUUUUUUCCAUUUUGAUUUCUAUUUAUUUACCGUGCUUUUACCAUGUCUCCCGAACAAUCUCAGUACAUAUGGCGCAAGACGAUUCCACAUAUCGAGGUCGGAAUGGGAUCGGGUGUUUUCACGUCUUACCGUAGUGCCCGUGGAAAUCCAAACGAACGAAAGGAAUAGUUAAGCAUUCUCAUAGGCUCCAGGCGAAAAAGAGAGGAAAAAGGCUCUUCCUUCUUUUGUCACAAGAAUAGCUCCAGUUGAAUAAGCUGUGAUGUCCCUCUCAUCUGUGCUUGCCGCCUUUUCACCACGGUUGGCUGACUCCGGCUUUCCAGUCUUCUCUUUCCUGCGCGCUGGACGGAUGCUAGCUCUUCUCUUUGCAAGAAGGUUUGUAUGAGAAUUAAAUUAUAUUAAUAGAGUGAGAUUCGUGUGCAGCUGAUGAAAUAGCUAGGGUUGAUGAUAUAACUCUAACAACGGUUAUUGCUAAGACUGGUUUUCUGGUAGUCAAAUUGAUUAGAUUAUUGGUUUCAUUAAAAAUAUUAAAAAUUUAUUAAAAAAGAAACCUCAAUUCUACAAUUCAACCGAUCUGAUACCAUCUUCGGAUCAAUUCCCAAUCUAACUAGCCAAUCUAAUUUCGUUCAAACAUUAUUGGCAAAAUCAUAGUUUCAAAUCUCCCAUGUGUAAAGCUCUUUAGCGGUUAUAGUUUUGCCUAUUCAUUGAGGGUAGCAUAAGGGAUUGGCGGGGCCAAAGCCCCUAAAAUAAAAAAUAUCACAUUGGUCCAUUUAUAUUUUAUAAAAUUAUAAAUGAGUAUAACAUCAAAUUGCAAUUAACUCCCAAAAUUGAUUUAACUCAAAAAAAAAAUAUUUUGCAUGUUUUCGCCUCGAUCUUGCAAGAAAAAAAUGCAAACUUAUAUACAUCAUAAUCUAUUUAAUUAAAACACUGACAAACAAACCAAAAUACAAAAGAUAAUAUAUAUAUAUAAGUCUGCAUUACCAUAUAAUAUAUACAUAGAAAAUUUCACGAAAAUAAUUAGAAAAAUAAACUGGUUACUGCUAGAAACUAAUUAAAUCUGGAAUUUCUUGUUGAUGAGAAUUAUAAACUGGAACAUAUUCAAUGAGUGCAGCAGUUUCUUCGGCAAAUGAAAUUUUCUUAUUAUUUUUUUCUUCAUUGAUCUUUAAAUUUUCAUCAAAAACCACCCAUUUAUCUGUUAUUACUGUCUUCAAAGCUUCCUUGUGUUCAACAAUGGCUGCCGUUUCGUCAUUUUCCUCGAUACUAUAAUCCCCGACAGAAUCUUCGUAGGUCGUCAUGGUCAUAUCUGAAGCCCCAUUGACGAUUCUCUUGAGUUCUUCGACUUCUUCCUUCGGGAUCUGAGCAACCGUGGGGAACUCGUUGGCGUUCAUGACGCCGAAUUCCUUACAAGACUCGAAAAACAAUGACAGUUCCUCGCCUUGUGUCAUCGCCUUUUGGAGAACCUUCAAUGCCGUCGCUGCUUCGGGUUUUUUGACCGAGUAUAUGUUCAACAGAACCUUGGUGAUCUCGGUGCAAAUCCGGCUAUAAACGUCGUAUAUCUCAAUAAUGAUACAAUCCAUAGCUUCGAGAAUCAACGGCAGUUUCAUGUUUUCAGCUCGUGGCUUGACUUGUAGUAACAUAUCUAGCAAAGAUUGCAAUUUUUGUAGUUUCGACAGUUGUUGCGCCAUCGGCGAACGUUCAUCGGAUUUUCGAUUGUCUUUUUCCGAUAAAACGAGGGCUCGUUGGUCUAAAAACGCAUAGUAUUCACGUACAAAAGCAUUGAAACCCCAUGUCUUUCCCGAGGUUGUAUGCCCGUCGGUAAAACUCGAUAAAUCGAAUGGCAACCGCCCCAUCUUUUCGACGGCGGGAACUUUACAAUAAAACACACCGUGCAUUAGCAUUAAACCUUUAACAGCAACGACCCAACUCCGAGUCUUCUCCAUUCUCCUAGACAAAGCCCAAACGAGAGGACGAAGACUAAUCGGCGACGCUCGUAUCCACGAGAACACAAUUUGAGCAUUCCUUUUAUCAAUAUGAUACUCAUCAUGGCUCGUGGCUUGGAUGAUGGAGAUCUCGAGAUCGGGAUUCCGAAACGAACUUUUGCCGGAAAAAUUAGCCCAAACUAUGCUGUUCUUAUCCUUAAUAAUGCCAGUGACCUUCUUCCAUAACCCCAUAAUUAAAUUUUCUUUUCUUCAAUUUUCGUAGCUAAAUGUUUGUUCUCAGAGAAGAGGAAGGAGAAAAACAACUACGAAUUGAAGUUUCUGAAGCUGUUUUUUUUUUAUUUUUCCUAUUUAUUUUAGGUUUAAAAUUUUAAUUUCCAGCUUGUAAAUGCCCUUUUACGUAAUUAUUGUUAUUUUUUAUAUAUUUUUUGGGUCAACAAAUUUAAAAAUAAUUUUUUUUUUUUAAAAAGGACGUGUUGAGGUGAAAUGGUUUAUAUUGCCGGCUAAAUGUAUAUUACUAUAUUAGUGACUAAUGGUUUGGCAAGAUUGCUUGUCUAUCUGCCAUCUGUCUAUAAUAAUUUAAAAGGGUUAAUUUCAUUAGAUGUCCUCAAACAAUGGAAUGAGAUCUAAAUUACUCCUUAAACUUCAAAACUUACCAAUCAAAUCCUCGAAUUGAAGUAUUUCAUAUCUUUCUAUCAAUCUAAUCAUCAACUUCGGUGUUAAAUACCUACUUCGGCCCAGCCCAUGAAUACCUAAUGAUUUCUUGUGUAUCUAUCAUUUGUCACUAUAUAUAUUGAGAUACCAUCAAGUGUUUGAACUUCAAAACUUUACAAUUAAAUACUCAAAUUAAAAUAUUUCAUGUAUUUCUAUUAGUCUUAAAUUCUAAUCAUCAUUUGCAACGUUAAAUACCAACUUUGACCUAACCCAUGAACACUCGGCGAAUUGUUGUGAUAUAUUUUGAGAUUUGUAUAAUAUAUAUUGGUCAAAUUGUGAUUUUAAUUUUUUUUAUGCUCAAAUUUGUGAUUUAGUCCUUACAUUUCAAUUUGACAUAUGGUCAUUAAUUUUUAUGAUGUUAUUAAUUAGUUUAAAUAAUACACCAUUAACCAUUUUUAGUUAAAUUACUAAUGUGGAUUUUUUUUUUUCAUAAAACACCUCUUUAUAGUCAUCAUGUUAACAUGGGUUUUUCGAGUUGGAAGCGGUUCAUAUCAAACGAUUUAUUCAAAAUAGUUAAUAUCAUUAAUUAUUUGAAUUAAUUAACGAUAUUAUAAAAAUAGGUGAUCAAAUUAUUUUAAAUUAAAAUACAAUAACUAAAUCUCAAAUUUUAAAUAUAGUAGAGGGUCUAAAAUCAUAUUUUGAUAAUGUUUAUUGCAUGCAUGUUUGCCAUAUACAUUUCAUGUCUUAUUUUUUUGUUAUUUAGCCUUGGUUCUUUUAGUUACAAAUGGGAAAAGUUUUAAGGGUUUGAAAAUAAAUUUUGGGAUAAAUAUUAAAUUUAUGCAUUAACUUCGAUUCAAUGUGUAAUUAUACACAUAACGUAGAGCAUAUUUAAACUAUAUGGAUCAAAUUAUAAAUAUUUAUGUACCUACUACGUGUACAUCGCAUAAAUUUGACGUAAUAAAAACUGAUCGUGCUAAUAAAAUUUAUGAGGGUUAUUUCAUUCUUUUUUAACUCGUCAAAUUUAUAUUGUUUAUUGAACAUAUAUUUUAAAUAUGUUUCAUGAAAGGACUUGGCAAGCAACCCACCCUUUCCGCCUGAAUGGUAAAUUUAUUGUUUAACCCUUAGAGAGUUAUAAAAUGUUAAGUUAAUAUAGUGGCGAAUUUGCAUUUUGGGGUAAGCUAAUUGAAAGACCUAAUUGAUAAAAUACUCAAGGGUUGGUACUACGGAGCAAGCAAAGGCCUCCCCUUGCCACCACACAAAUGGUAAAUUUAUUGUUUAAACCCUAGAGAAAUUAUAAAAUAUUAAGUUAAUAUAACAAUGAAAUUGUAUUUUGAUAUCCCAAAAAUUUAUAAUUCAAUUAUGGCUCGUAAGAAAAAGAUUUUUGACUUCACGACCGAUGAUGUUGAAGAGAAUGCUUGGAAGAUUGAAGAUAUAUUUUAAAUUCAAGUACAUCUAGUACAAUUAACCCAAAAAAUUCAAACCAAACCUUAAAAUGAACUUAUUAGGCAUCAAGUUCAAUAGAUAAUUAGGUAAAAAUUUAAUUGCACUAGAAAUCCCCAAACUAUGGUUUUCAUUCUAAAUUGGUCCUCAAACUUUAAAAUGUUCUAAUUACAUCCUCAAAUCAUUAAAAUCGUUAAUUUAACCAUUAAAUAACACGCCAAAUCUUAUGUGACAUAAUUUAAAAUAAAAAUUAAAAAUGGUAAAAUAUUACAGCAAACUUUUAAAAGUUAUAACUAAAAGAAGAAUAAAAGAGAAAGUGAAUGAUAAAACUUUCGUAAAAACUUUAAAAACAUCAUAACAAGAUAUUUAUAACAUUCAUUUUUUUUCAUUAAAAUUUUUAUUCUAUAUAAUGCCACAUAAGAUUUGACAUCUCAAAACGGUUAAAUUAACUAUUUUAUUAACGGAAAGACCUUAUUGAUAUAACCUCAGUAGUUUAAGGAUGUAAUUAUAAUGUUUUAAAGUUUGAGGAUGUAUAGUACAAUUAACUCUUAGGAAAAAAAAUAAACCUAUUUUCGUUAUUUUUUUUUUCCAAAAUGAAAUGAAAUCUAUCUUCAAACUUAACUCGUAAAAUGGAGACUGAUAAUAGAAUAAUUAAAAGUAUUCAUAAGUCGAAACCACUCAAAUUCAGGAUGAACUAUUGUAUGGUAUUAAACUAUUUAUACUUAAGCUUCGACUAAAAUCAAAUAACCCGAUCUUAUUUAUAUAUUCGAAUAAUUUCGGAUUUUAAAAUUUGUUACCCUUUAAAUAAAAAUUGACGUAACCAUAGAAGCUACUGAGCACACUUUUAACAUUGAUUACAACGGAAUGAAACAACGGAUACAUACCAAAGCCUAUUUUAGAGCCAAAAAUGUGAAAAAGAAAGGCCAAUAUCUCUUUGCUUUUAUUUUUGUCUCUUUUACCACUUGGAUUUUGUGUCCUUUGAUUAUAUAUGUAUAUGGCAUACUCUUUUCAAGCUUUUUAGGGUAUAUAAAAUUAACUCCGAUAAAGUAGAAUUGUUUAAGGAUCGAUUGGUUUAGAAAUGUUCAUGAGCCGAGUUUAAGUAUAAUAUUAAUAUAUUUUAUACUUGUUCAAGCCCGACCCAGCUUGAAAUAUGAGUUAAAAAUUUUGCCUAAACUCAUUUAUAUUUAUAACGGACUAAUUCAAACCUAUUUUAGGUCCACCUAUAUUGUUUUUUUUUAAAUAUGUUUAUAUUAUAUUAUUUUAAAUUUUAAUAACUUUAUACAUUUUUAUUUAUUGAAUUUUUUAUUAAUUUUUUUAAUGUGUUUUAAAUUACAUAAUAUAAUAUAAUGUAUUAUAAACUUAAAAACGGGUUGAUUCAGGCUUGGGUUUGAAAUGUUCAAGCUUGAGCCUGACUCAUAUUUAAAACGGGACUAUUCUUUUUGUCCAAACUCAUUUUUUGGGCUUAAUAUUUUUAUCCAAACCCUCUCAAAUUUUGUACGGGCUUUCGGGCUUGAGCGGGUAGCCCGACCAAUGAACAGAUCUAAUUUGGUUUGAAUUAUAAUUUAAUAAUUAAAAUUUUAUCAAGUUGGAAGCUUUUUUAGGUCUAAUGUCAAAUUUAGCUAUCAAUGUUUACAUUCUUUUUGUCAAUUUAGCAAUUAUUCUUUUUUUUAAAGCUAAAUUUGACCAUUAACCUUUAAAAAAUAGUUAAAUUUCUCUUUUUAAUAGAAAUGCUAACUAAAACAUUAAUUUUUUUAAAGAUAUUGCCAACAGGACACUAGUUGAUUUAUAUGUUAUAAAAGUAUUCAAAUAAAAAUAAAAAUUUCAAAAUUCAAAAAAAUAAAAUAAAACAAAAGGUUCAUAAAAUAAAAAAAAUAACGUGAAAUGCAUGUGGAUUGUCAUGCAGGCCGUCAUGUUUUUAAAAUUUAACAUUUUAAUUAGUAUUUACAUUAAAAACAAUAAUUUGACUCUUUUUAAAAUAUUAAGGGCCAAAUUAACAAAAAAAAUAAAUAUUAAAAACUAAAUUUGACAUUAUGCUAUUAUUUUACUUAGAUUUUCGAGCCAAAAACAUAUUGAAAUAUGAUGUGACACUAUUCGAUCGAAUAAGUGGAAAUGUUUAAGGUAUGUCUAUAGGUCGAAUUAUGUCAUGAGUCAGAUUUUUUUCUACUCGAAUCAUGAUAAAUUAGAUCCAAAUUAAUUCGAUUUUUUCUAUCUUAUAUUCGUGUCGUGUCUAAAAUUAUCAGGUUUUCGAUCAAUUUUACAAGUUGUGCAUGGCACCCAAGAAGAAAAAAAGCAAAAAAGUGGGGAAUUGAAAGAUUUUUCAACCUAACUACAGCUGCCGUUUCUUAAAAGCAAUAAAAGAAGAGUAAACCCAAAAAAAAAGAAAAGGGAAAAAUUAAAAAAAGAGAAAAAGCUCCCCAAGAAAAAGAGACAUAUAGAGAGAGCUAGCAAAGUAAUAAAUAAAUAAAGAAAAAAAAAAGUUAAAAUUUGAAGUUUGCUAACAAGAGAAUUAUAUAUUUUUUAUAUGAUACUCGAAUUUUUUAUUUUUAUUUAAUAUUUAUUUUAGAAUAAAUAAAUUAUAGUUGAAGUUUUUUUAAAAUAUAUAUUUGAAUAAAGGUAAAACUCUAAUUUUAUAAAUAUAAAAUACACAUUUAUCAUGUAGACCUACAAAUUUUUUGAAUUUGCUGACUGAGUCUCAACUCGAUUGGUAUUGAAAUUGUUGCCAAUGCAGGAGGACGUGGGUUUGAGUACAUUGAAACGCAUUAUCUUCCUAUUUAAGAGUUAAGAAGGGGCUAUGAGUAGUUCUAAGCUUUGUGUAAAAAAAACAUAUUCUUUGAUUUGAUAUAAUUAUACACAUGAAACUUGUAUGUAACAUAUCAACGUAAAAUUGUGUUAAUUUAUAAAACUUGUGCCCAAUAUUUACCCCUUAAUGGGCCUACAGAAUGCGGAUGAGCAAAUUAGUCUAUGUAUAUUAAAUCAAAGAACAAAUUGAUUUUUCUGUUAAAAUUUCCAUCCAUUUCUACAGUUAAAAAUAAGUUCAAUCAACACUAAUUAAGAGAGCUCAAGCAUAAUUUAUCGAGUUGAUGUGAGCAAGAGAAAUAAACUAAUUUUUUACUAGGUAAACAAGCUUAAUUGACCCUAAUAAAUCAAGAUCAAGCAUGCACCCUAAUUUGCAUCUUGAAUCAAGCUCAAACUUUUUUAUUGAACACGAGUCGAGAUUUGAGGUUCAAAUUUUAAUUCAAACUUGAGCUUAAACUUUUUUUAACUUAAGCUUAAGUUUGAUUCGAUUAAAUUACAUCAAUAUAAACUGAUCCAAUCAACUUGAUUAGAUCAACCCAAUCAACUCACCUAAUUCAUCCAUCAAUGUACAUAACUUUAAUUCUUAAAUUGGUUCUUAAAUUUUUUUUUAUCAUAUGUGACUUUUAAAAUAUUAAUUUUAUCUCAUUUUAUCCAAAAAAAAGUGUAUGAUAUCCAAUAAAAAUAUGCCACAUGUCAUAUUCUUAUUGGGUGAUAUUAUUUUUGGAUAAAUUGAGAUAACUUAUUUUAUAAAAAAAAGGGAUAUAAUUAAGAACUAAUUUACCUACAUGUAUUGUAAGUGGUUCUUAAACUAUUAAUUUUAUAAAAAAAUGUGUACGACAUCCAAUAAGAAUAUGCCAUGUGUCGUGUUCUUAUCGAAUGAUAUUAUUUUUAGAUAAAUUGAGAUAAAUUUUAAUAAAAAAUUAGUAUAAUUCAAGAAUUAACUUACCUAUAUAUAUACACGCACGCACUAAAUAUUAAGAGUUUGACUGAGUUAAUGCCACAAAUCAAUCAGAUUCCAACUUAAUUGUGGAAUUAUCAAAAAUAAUUUUUUUUACAAAGCACUAAAUAUUAUUUUGAGAGUAUUUUUAUCUUUUUACAAUUUUAUAUCAAAUCUAAAAGAAAAUACAUAUAUAUGAUGAAAUUUGAACUCAAAAUCAAGGUUUUUGAACGGGACUAGACCGACUAGUUAAAUCGGAUCUAGCCAAGAUACCAGUCUAAAGAAUGGCAUUUAAUCAGUUGACCUAAAAACUGGUAUGGACCAAUUGAAUCGGACUCUUGAAUCAAAAUUUUUAUAUUUUUAUGAAUUUUUUAAUAAUUUAUUUGAUCGAACUCAAUAUAUCAAUUAGAUCGAUGAAUCGAUGACUUAAUCAAUUCGAUCAUCAUUGCGUUGUAGAAACCUGUACAAAAUAUCAUUAACAUUUAUUCACUCAACAUUGCUAUUUCGAACAAAUUUAUAUUUAAUUUUAUGAUAAUAUUUUAUGAAAUACUUAGAUGAUUAUUUUCCUCAACUGUAAUAAGCUACGUGUAUAUAUAUAUAUAUAUUAUGUACAUGUAUGGUGCGGGUAACCUUUCAUGGUCUUUCACUGUACAGCCGAUCCCACACGCCCUUCUCUCUCUCUCUCUCUUUGUUUCUUCGUCUUUUCAUGCUCUCCUUUCUCUUCUUUUUCUUCUUUUUUUUAAUUUUCCCCUUUUACUUUCCGUUUCUCUCUCUUUCACUGAUACAAAGUAAGAUUUUCCUCAGCAUCUGGCAUGAGCUCAACACCGUAUUUCUCUCCCCAAUUCCCCUCUCUCGAUGUUUUCGUAAGUGCCUCCUUUCAUUCCUCUCUUUCAAAUGGAGAAAUUGGCCUCGAAUUUGAUUCAAACUUUUACGAAAUUCCUGUAUUAAUGGCCUCUCUUUGAAUCGGUCUGUGUGUGUUUUGGUUUCAGGAAAGAAAGGAAAGUGAAGUAUUACCGGUAGAGGGGAAUCACCGGAGCUGGGAGACUAGAAUCGACGGUGGUAUGGACUUGGACUUUCGCCGGCAGCCGCAUGCGGUGGAGUUCGACGUUGAUUUCUGGCCCGUUGAACAUCCUAUGGAACCACAAGAUGAAGAUCGGCCUGUUAAAUGCCCAAUGUCAGCUGCUUCGUCCAUCAAUGUAUGUUACUAUGUUAUUUUUAAAACCAUAUUUAGAUUUUUUUUAAAAACAAGAUAUUAAAAAAAAGGUUAAAUGACUAAAGAAGCCCUUAAACUAGUUUUUUUUUAAAAAAAUAAGCUUCUAAACUUUUGUUGCAACUCAAAUAAACCCUUAUGUUUUGAUUCGUAUUUAAAUUAGCUCUUGAAUAAUGCUUUAUAUUAAGAAUUUUAUUUAAUUUUAAACUAAAGGAUAGAGGCUUAUUUAGAUACAAGUUAAAGAUUAAGAGCUUAUUUGGUUUUUAAGGGUUUAUUAGGGUUUAUACAAAACAUUAAAAAGGUUAAAUUACUACAGAAGCCCUUAAACUAGUUUUUUUUAAAAUAUGCUUCUAAACUUUUUUUGUAACUCAAAUAAACCCGUAUAUUUUGAUUUGUUUUUAAAUCAGCCCUUAAAUAAUGAUUUAUAUUGAAAAUUUUAUUUAGGUAUAAAUUGAAGUAUAGAUGCUUAUUUAGAUACAAGUUAAAAAAAGAUUAAGAGCUUAUUUGGUUACCAAUUAAAGUUUAAUGGUUUAUUUGUUUUAAUAAAAAUAUAAGGACUUAAUUAAAUAUACUAACAAAAUUCAAAGGCUUAUAUAGUAUAUUAGCCAUUAAAAUGGAACCUCAUCUUUUUUUUUUUUUUUUUGAAAUAUUCACAUCUCUUAAGUAAGGUUUCGGUUUUGAGUAUUGUAAGGGUGAAAAUAGGCAUUAAAAGAGCUUUUCUCUCUCUCAUUCAGAAUUUGACUCGACUCAACUCUAAUAUACUUAGUAGCACAAUAUGACUUAUUUAAAAUAUUAACCAUUUAUAUAUGUAUUCCGGACCUUGAAAAGCUCAAUAUCUCUUAAAUAAAAUUUCAAUUUUGAGUAUUGUAAAUAGAGAAGUAGGGUUACUACAUCCUUUCCCCCUCCGUUUGGGGUUUGGCUUGACUCGAUUUUGGUAUAGUUGUAGCACAUUGUGGCUAUUAAAUAUUAAAAUAUUCAUAGCCCAAAUAUGAACAUAUUUGCCUUAAGUAUUAUUAUCAAAUUUUCUUCAUAUCUAAAAUAUGUACUGUAUUUGAAGAAUGGAAAAGGGCAUGAAGAAAUGGUGGUCGGAGAGAGUUCGCGUAAGAGAUCAGAACAACCACAAACGGUGAACGGAAUUGGGGUGGCAGCAAUGACGGAGCCACUGGUAAGAGCGGUGCGUAAAAGGCAACACACGCUCACCAGCGACAACCACAUAACGGUGGAGCCUCGUAUCGGAAAACCAUCUCUUCCUCCGAUCCCGACUCCAACUCUUACCGGUUCCCAAAUGCUUCAACAACUUGACAAAGCUUAACUCAUUUACCAAAAAAAAUUACCCAUCUUUUUUUUUUUAUCAAUGCAUUUGGAGAGUUGAGAAAAUUGAAAAUUUUCCCUUUUAUGUAGGAAAGGGAAAAUCCAAGAAAAUUUGUAACCCAGGCUUUCAUAAUCUAGUGCUACCAUGUUGAGAUCCUUUAUGUACAUUAUUUUAAAUUUGAAAUUUUCUUUAAUGAAGAAAAUCUAUGAUUUCUUAAAAAAAUACGAGACUGAAUCUAAUUAGUUCGUACAAUUAUAUUGAAUUAAUUUUUAAAAAUACGUUCGACCAAUUCAAUAUUCGAAUUUCGGCUUGAAGAAAAGUGUUAAGAAAUGUGUUUCACUUUCGGAAAAUGUCGAAUAUGUAAUUGAUACGAGUAUAUUUAAUUUUUCUUAUUUUUCGUGUAUUGAAAUUAUUUAUAAAUUUAUGUUCGUAUAUGUAUACAACAUUAAGUAAAUGAAUAAUCAAAACAUCUAGCUUAUUUUUCUUUAACGUAUAUGAAAGUAGAGGCGAAGCCAUAUUUUUUAUUUUUGGAGGGACCGAAUUUGAAUUACAAAUUUUUGAAGAGAGUUAAAAAUAUAAUUUCGUCGAACUUUACAAUUUUCAAAAGAUUAAACUAUAAAAUUUUUGUGUUUGAAAUGGAUAUAAUUUUAAAUUUUAAAAGGGGUCAAAAUUAAUUUUACUAUUAAAUUAACUUAAAACUUUGUAAAUAUUUAAGGGACUAAAACGAUAAUUCUUUACAAGUUUUUCAAAAAAAACAUCAAGAACUUUUAUAUAAUAUUUAUUGAAAAAUAAUUUUGAUAUUAUUUUUACCAUUUUAAAAUGGUAAUAAACUGGAAUUAAUUAUAAAUUAAAUAAAAACAAAAUUUAAUUGGAUUGAGUCCAAGUAAUGAGGGUUUUUAUCCGAAGACAGAAUCCUAUAAAUAAACAAUAAAACAAACAGAAUGAACUGAAAGUGCGAAAAAAGAAGCUCAUUUCCUCGAUUAUGAAGAACACAGUAGAGGGGACCAUUUUUCUACUAAAAACAAUUCUUCGUUUCAUCUGUUUGAAAAAGCAUGCACUAUGUGCCUAUGCCUGCCCAACACAAUUUUUUUUUCUUUUUAGUUUAUUUUUAUUUUUAUUUAAUCUUAUUACUAAAUAAAUAGAUCUGUUUUGAUCUACUUUUUUAUGUACCCAUAGUAAUUAUUUAAGCUUCACUACAAAAUUGAUUAUACUGUUUUUUUUUCAUUUAGUAAUUUUUUUAUUAAUAAUAAUAUUUAAAUUAUUAAUUGCAUCUUAUUUCAAAAAAAUGUAUAAAAAAUUAACACAUGUCAUAUUAUUAUUGGUUGAUUAAUAAUUUAAAUAAAAUGAAAUAAAAUGAAUAAUUUAAUAGAUUGAAAUCUUUAUGCUAUUUUAUAUUUUUUUUAAAAUUAUUUAUAUUUAAUACCAUAAACAGGAGAAAAUAUUCUAUACAUUGCAACUAAAAUUUUUAGACACUAAAUAAAGUUUCGAAGCUGAGUUUUCUUAAAACUGCUUUGCUGAACAAAAAAAUAUAUUAUCAAUGUACUAAAUAUUCACUCUUAUACAAAAUAUCAAUAGGAUUUCGGAUUUUUUUCCGAAUUUUCAAAAAACAUAUCUGUAUUCGAAAUCCGAAACUAGAUAAUAUACUUAAUUCCAUUUUUAUUCAGUUUUCAUGAUAUAAUAUAUAUCCUUUGAAUCUGCCAUCUUACGUGCAAUAACAAAUCCAUUUAUUUAUUGAUUAAUGGAUUUAUUUUCAUAAACAUAAUCUUCUUUAACUUUAAUAAAAAGAAUGGACCAUUUUCUUUUAGAACUCUGAAAAUUUUAUAUACAAAAGAAUGUCAGCAAAUGCAGCAUGUGGGGACAAAGCUCCAAAACAAUUUUCUCACUGAUGAAGCACAGCACCCGCUUUCCCUAAACCAGUCUUCAGACAAAAAGCAUUCCCUAUAUAUAUUGCAAUCAAAAUAUAUAUACUCACAUUUAUAUGCAUACAUACAUGUAUAUAAAGUUAAAAAAGAGACUGUAUCACUUUUUCUUACAAUAUAACGUUACCUGUUUCUAAAAGGAAGGGGCAUAUACAUCAGAGAGAGAGAGGGAGAGGGAGAGGGAGAGGGAGAGGGAGGGAGGGAGAGAGAGAGAGAGAGAGAGAGAGAGAGAGAGAGAGAGAGGGAGAGAGAGAGAGAGAGAGAGAGAGAGAUGUAGCUUUCACUUUUCACCUAUGGGUGAGAGAGACUGAAUAAUUGCAUUACUUUAACUUGGGUGUGAAUAUCGGAUAUAAAAUAACUCUAGAGAGAGUUUCACCUUUCACUAAUCGGUUAGAGAGAGAAAUUAUGUUAUUAAGACUUCGGUAUAAGUAUCGGAUUUGAGGAAUGUGAGUAAAAGUACCAUGAAAACCCCUCUAUUAAGAGUCGGAUUGUAUUUUGCCUCAUCUACUAAAAAAAUGAGUAAAUUAGUCCUUGUAUGUUAAAUCAAGGAGUAAACUGAUCAUUCUGUUAAAAAUUUCAUUCAUUUUUACUGUUAAAAACUAGUUCCAGUAUUUUUAUCAGUUCAAAUGGAUGAACUUUUAAUAGAAAGGAUCAAUAUGCUCUUUGAACAAAUGUACAAUGACUAAUUUGCCCAUUUUAAUAGAGAGUACAAGAGACAAUCUGACUUUUAGUACAAGAACCUCUAUGAUAUUUUUAUCGAGGUAUAUGUUCAACAAGGACAUGAUUAAAGAGAGAAAUUUAGUGUUCCACCUUUCACCUAUGGGUUAGGGAGAGUGAAAAACUAAUUACUUUCAGUCAAUAUCAGUCUAAAUAUAUAUAUGGAGAGAGAGGUUUGGGCUAGAGAGGAACGGUGUUAUUGUGAAUCGGGCGUAAGUAUCGGGAUAUGAGGCAUGUGUUCAACAAGGACAUGAUUAAACCAAGAGAAAUGUAAUUUUUCACCUUCACCUAUGGGUUAGGGAGGGUGAGAAGCUAUUACAUUGACUCAAAUGUGAGUAUUGGACAUGGGAUAUAUCCGAGAAGAAUGCAAUACCGAUAGCAUAUACGAUGAUAGUCACUGACGCAUAAAGGGAAUGGCUGAAUUCCUAAACAAUGCCGAUUGCAGUCCAACUUAUUUUGUAGAAGACAUCUCCUAAUUGGACAGGACGAACACAAAGCAUAGUGUCACGGUUCACACCAACCUGUAAAGUAUUAUCCGUUUCAGCCCAUUAGAUCUCAUGGUUUUUUUCCCACAAAAGAUGUCUCACAGGUUGAGGAUAUGGCAUGAACACUUAUAUUCCGAGACUAACUCUAUUACACACUUAUGCAUGAUUCACGACUCCCUCUCUAGGACCGUGACAUCUCUCGAAUGAAAGUCCAUUGUCCUCAACAACACAUCAUUAGUACCUCUAGAACUAACUCUGAUACCAAUUGUCACUAUCCAUACCAAACUACAAGAUAAUGUUCAUUCUAGCUCGUUGAACCUCACAGUUUUGUCCACAAAUGACACAUAACGAGUGAUAUGAACCCUUAAUAUAGUCGCUGUGAGUUUCAUAGUUCUCACUGGACCAUGACACAUGGCAGCCACAAAUUCAUUGUUCAGCUAGGGACGAGCCUUAAUUGGUUUAAACCGAUUUAACUGACAAAACCGAUCCGAUUUAGUUGAUUUGAUCACAAAGCAAAAACAGUUUUGGGCUAUAAAAUCUAACAAUCCAAAAUAGCUAACAACCUAAGAUGUUCAUCACAAGAUCACCAUAGAUUCUACACAUCAAAUUUUACACUAUAAAUAGCUUGAUGAGCUCUCCAUUGAGGCAAGCUCAAUAAAAUUUCUUUAUGUAACUUACAUGAAUAAUCUUCCCAUUCAGUGAUUGCAGCAGAAAAAGUGGCUAAAUUGAAAUAACAUCGAUCCGCACUUUGAAAAACUGUUUCAACCAGUUUAGUAUCCUUCAGAAAAAUGGAAUUCACCUGAGUAAUCUUCUCCGAUUGUGAUCGGGAUAGUCGAACCGCCUUGCCGGAUUGAACCUCGUUUGUGAAAGCUUGAGAUUUGCAUCCUUUCCAAAAAUAAAAUUGCGCCACCUGUUCAUCACAGAGAUUAACAUAUUCUCCUAUCUAACACUCACAUCUAAGUUCCAGUAACAUAACGCUUAGUACAUUUUUCGAUGCAACACUUAUAUUAAUGAAAUUAAAUGGCUUAUUUUCCAUUCUUGAACUAUUGACAAUGCAGUAAUUUGAUGUUAAGACGAUUAUCUCAGUCUAAUUAUGUUUUAGUCCCUCUACUACGUUGAAAUUUAAUAUCUAAUCCCUCUACUUUAAUUUAGUAUAAUUUGAUCCCUUUACUUUUAUGAUGAUAUUAGUAAGUCCAGAUUGAUAACACUAUUAACUGCUGCAGGUUAAUAACAAUAUUAAUGGUGUUAACAGAUUCAUAGAAAUCAACGUCAUCACUUUAGUGGCAGGUAUUAUCAAUUUGGACCUAUUAAUGAUCUUAUAAAAGUAAAGGGAUCAAAUUAUAUUAAAUUAAAUUACAGUAAUACGAUCGUAUCAUAUUCUUCUAUAGCUCAUAAUUAACAAAAUUUUGAAGCUGAAAAUACCAAUAGUAAGAAUACCUGAAGUGAAUGCAGAACAUUGACAAAUUUAUGGUCAAGCAACUGAUCUCGCCUUGCUAAUUGCAUUGGUUCCAUGAGGAGUUCAGAUAAAUCUGAGCCGAAGUUCAUGUCUCGAGAAUAAUAUACAUCAAAGCCAAGAGCAUGUAAUCUUCCCAAACGAAUAUCGAAUCCGAUGUCUUGAUUAGAAGCUUGAUGAGGAGAAAACCAAUACAUAUUAUCUGAUGCUGGCAAAGGUAGCAAUGACCAUGGCACAUUGUUAGACUUGUGUAAUACGUUUUCUUCGAGUAGCAAAAUAAGUUUAGCAUCCUCGUCGUGGGAACUAUCACGGCUGAACCAUAAAGUAAGUGUCAGCCGUUCUCUGCUAGUUACCUGUCAAAAAAUCUAAUACAUCAAAAAAACUAAGUGUAUAAACAAGGUAAAGGACCCUUUUUUAUAUAAUGUAGGACAAGUUUGAAUAAUAUCUUUGUUGCUUGAUCCAAGCUCAAAAAUCCUGCUUCGGAGUCAGUAUCAAGCUGAACACUAAGCAGCUACUCUACUUUUCCCAAUUGAACAUGAAUAGCAGGGACCAAGCCAGAAAAUUGCUUUAGGGGGACUAGAGAUAAAUCAUAAAUUAUUGGGAGGGCCAAAGUGCAAUUUUACCGUUAUACUAGCAUGCAAUUUCAUAAAAAUUUAAGGGGUUAAAUGGCAAAUCUACCAUUUCUGGUGGAGCCAAGGCCACUGCCUGCCCCCCUUUGCCUUCGUCCUUGCCGAAUAGCAUCCACUUUCCUUCAAUAGAUGAACUAGAUACUAUAAUAUAUAUACACACACACAUAUUACAAGAGAGACAGAUCACAAAAGUACCUCAUCGACAGAAUGUGUAUUGCGGCCGUCAGAUGUAUAAAUGACAGCAUCCUGAUAUACAAUAACUCGGUGAGUAUCAAUCAAAUGGUAUCUUAAACUAAUGAGUAAACAUGCUUUUCACUAGCUUCUAUUCCAAAUAAAGCGGAACAUGGCUGCAUCUUCUUCACUGAUUUUAUUAUCCUAGACUAUUUGGCUCCAACUCUUCAUUUCUCUUUAAGUACCCAUGUCUGACACAUAUCCCGAACAUGGAUAUGGAGAUACACCCUCCAAAUACAUGGAAAACCGUUAAAAAAUUAAGCACGCCCCUGUCCAACAUCAGGGUACAAUCCAUGCCAAAAUCUUAUAACUUAUGUAGAUCCAUUUCAAAAUCAUAUUCUAACAAUUUGAUUGUGCAUCACCAUUCUAAUAAGAGAAGACAUGUCAUAAGAAAAUAUUGAACAGAUGCACUUACUCCGACCAUAGGUGCAAUUGUUUUCGGUUCCCCGUCUUGGAAAUGAAACAGUCCACCUUCGAAAUCCUUUCCGUAACUAUUCAAAUAACAGACUGCCUUCAGACAAAUAAGAAAAACACCCUCAGCAAGAAUUAUUGACAAAAGACUAAUUGCGAAGGACAUUCCCCAAAAAAAAGCUGUUAACACAAACCGUAAAAUCGCGUUGCUUGAGAUAAGGCCUGUUAUCAUCACUAUGCCAACCUAUGCUUGCUCCUCGGCUCCAACUACAAAUACAUAUGAUGUAUGGUAAUCACACAAACGUUUAUCAAGGGUAAAGUGAAUAAACAAGCAAAUGCAUAAAAAAACUCAUGUUUGAAAUAUAUUCAGACAAUGUUUUGGAGAUGUCCAAAGACAGGCUAAAUAUAUGAAAAGCUCACAAAAAUCAACAUAGUCAGACAUAUAUCCAUAUCCCACACUAUCACCCGAAUCCGAAUAAUAUAGUGUAAAUGAAGCAUUAGUGCUUGCAAGCUAUUCAAGUUCGAUUUGGAAAAACUCGAAUUUGAUUUUGUAAUUAUUGAGCUGAGCUCGAGUGGAAUUUGAGCAUUGUAUACUUGACUAGAAUGGUUCGCAAGCCUAAUUGAGCUUUUACUUUUCUAGUAUAUUUUACAUUGAAAUUACCUUUUUACCCUUAUUACAUGGAAUGAGCUUAAUUACAAAUAAGUUCGAGCUUAAAUAUGAAUAAGCUUAAUCAAGCUUGAGUACGAAAAUUGAUAAACAAGCUUAAUUGAACUUGAGCUUGAGUAGCUUGAUUGUGUCUCAAGCCAAACUUGAGCUUAGAAAUUGAUGUUUGAGUGAGAAGCUUUGAAUUUCAAGUCGGGCUCCGUUCGGCUCGAUUACAUCCCCAAGGUUUAACUACCCAAAGAAAUUAAAUUUCCAUUGAAAUAUAUGAAAACACUCACAAAAAUCAACAUAGUCAGACAUAUAUCCAUAUCCCACACCAUCACUGGAGUUCAAAUAAUAUAGAUUUAAGUCUUGUAAAUGAAACAUUGGUGCUCGCAAGCUAUUCGAGUUCAACUAAAAAGAAUUCAAAUUUGAUUCAAUAAUGAUCAAGCCAAGCUCAAGCUGUCGAUCAAACCGAAUCCGAGUACUGUAAUACUUGAUUCAAACGGCUCAAUUGAGCCUUUCCCUUUUAGUAUAAAAUUACAUAUUUACCCUUAUUAUAUAAAAGGAGCUUAAUUACGAACAAACUUGAGCUUAAAUAUGUGUGAAUUUAAUGGAGAUUGAAUUCUAAAAUUGAUAAGUGAACUUCAUCGAACUCAUCAAGUAGCUCAAUUAUGUCUCAAGCCUAGCUCAAGCUUAGAAAUUGAUGUUUGAGUCAAACUCAAACCAAGUAUCGAGUCCUGAAUCUCAAGUCGAGCUCGAGUUUGCCACUAUUUGAGCUCAGCUCGGUUCAAUUACACCCAAACAAAUUAAAAUUCUUUAUAUCACUCUUAUCAUAUUUAAAAAAUUUCAGGCCAAAAUUGGUACCUAAUGAGGCCAGUAAACUCCGUAACAAGCUCAUAUUCACAACCAAAGGUCUCCUCUACCUUCUCUUUCAACCUAUCUGCAAAUCAAAAUUUCGAAAACUAAUAUUAACAACAAUGAUUUUUUCGAUUAAUAAAUAACAGAAAAAGAAAAAAAAAACAAAAAAGGAUUUAAGAAAAAACAAGAGAACCUCUGAUGGGAAGAAAAGGGAUGAUUAGAUGAGCAGAAUUAGUGGCUAUGAGAUGAGAAAGAGUCGUUGAAAAUACGUUUGGCCUGUAUCCAAUCGUACUACAGCUCUUGUGUAUGAACUCCAAUUCCUGUUUCGAAAAGGAAGAAGCUUUUUUUCGAUAAAAUUCAUUCGUUAAUUUGACGAUAUUGUUAUUUGGGAUUGAAAUUUUGGGGGUCUAACCUUGCAUUCAUCUUCUGUGAGGAAAUUAUGUAAAAUUAACCUGGGAUGGUCUUCCUCCAUCUCCAUGUCCGCCAUUUUUUUUUCUCUUUUUGCUUGCUUCACAGCUUAAAACUUGAAGGUUUAUGGGCCUGGUCAAGGCCCGGUUCCCAAAAAAUCCAGAUUCAAGCCUGAGUUUAGUUCGGGUAAGUCCGUUCAAAUGAUUCAUUUCACGGUUAAAAAUAUAAACUUUAAUUAUAAAAAAUAUGAAUAUUAAUAUUUUUUUAUUUUUUUAACCAAUAAAAUUGAAAUAAGCCCAAAACUAAAGUGGGCUAGGCCAACAACGCUACGCAAACUGCCCAACUUAUGGUAAAAUUCAAAACCAUAAGGGUAGUCGAGUAAGUCUUAACUCAAUUGGUAUCGAUAUUAUUGUUAAUAGAAGAUAAUAUAGAUUUGAGUCCGCUGAAACGUAUUAUUCUAUUAUUUAAAGAUUAGGGAAAGACUAUGAAUAAUUUUAGGUAUUGUAUUUUUAGAAAACAAAUGCUAGAAAUCAUAAUGUUUAACGUUUUGAUCAUUUAACUUAGUUGGGUUGGAUUAUGACUCCAACAUUUACUUUUGCCCCCCAAGAAAAUAUGUUUUUUUAUUUAAAAUAUUUUUUAUUAAAUUUAAAUCUAUCUUGUUAUCAAAAUUUUCAUUUAGACGAAUCAAGUUUAUUUUUAUAUUAGGUUAAUCUGGAUCGAAUCAGUUCAGGUUUUAAAUUUUUUUGAGUCAAUGGAGUUCAAAUCAAUUUUAAUUGUUGCGCUCGAGUUGUUUUGAGUUUAAGUCACGCGGGUUUGAGUUCAAGCCAUUAUAAGUUCAAAUCAUUUUACGCACUUAUCACUUCAAAUUUAAAUCAUCUCAAGUUCAAGUAAAGUUUGAGUUUGAAUUAAAUUGAAUUCACGUUGGGAGAGUUCGAAUUGUUGACUUCUAAUGAUGAAAUCAAAUUGAAUCCGAUAUAAGUUCGAGUUAAUCAAGUCAGAUUUCCCAGUUCAAACUAGAAGUAACAAGUCUAAAUAUAAUUAUAUCGUGCUCAAAAUCAUUGAAUUAAAUCAUUUCUAAUUUAGUUCAUUUCAAAUUAUUUAUCAAAUCAUUUCGAGUUUGACUUGGAUUAAUUGUCCAUGUUAACAUUUUAUUGACUUAAAUGGCCACAUGUAAUUUCUUUUAAUGGAAAUGGCACAUGGGAUAACUUGAUGAACGGAAUGAAUGGAGAAAAACAAAAUGGCUGAAAAAAUAGUAAAAGGACCAAAUUAAAAAUUUCACUAUAUAAAAGGGAUCAAAACAAGUAUUAAACCAUUAAAAAAUUGUAUAACUCCUACGCAUGAAAAAUGUCAAUGUCCCCAUGGAUAAUUAGGGUCACUGCUUACAUAUUUCCCAUCAAAGGGAUUGUAAACUUGAAUCCUCCAUUCGUCUUUUUCAUCACUUCCAUGGCUACUGAAAUUAACCACAGAAGCUUCCAAUAUAUCUUCCCAGCUAUCAUCAUCAUCAUCAUUUAGCAUAAUCAACGGCUGUCGUUCUUCUUCACCUUCAUCACCCACCUUUUCAGCCGUCGAUGAUAACGAUGAUGAUGAUGGUGACUGAUGAUCACCAUUAUCAUCCUUUAUUUCCCACAUACCAUUAAUGAAGCUUUCAAGAGCUUGAAUUUGCAACAAUGGGAUUCGAUCCACAAAUGGAUAUUCAUAACACCCACAUACACCCAUAAGUUUACACCAUUGAUAAAACUCAUAUAACCGGUCCGCUUGUAAAGCUGCUUUUCUAUAUACAUCAAACGCCGAUAUACAACACCGGUAUGUCGGCAUUUGGAACAUGUUUUCCAGCAAGAAAACGAUGUCGUUUUUGAACACGGUGUAACAUACGAAGCUGUCACGGGUUAUAUGCUUCAUCGCCGUUUGAAUCAAGAAGUUUCGUGCCGUGACUCCGGUCGGUUUACAUUCGAUGACACGGUCGAUCAAACUUUGAAUCUGUUCUAACACUUCGAGAACUCUUCCGAUUUCUUCCAGCGAAUUAUUGGGCGGUCCAGGGCGGCGGCGAUGAUUGUCUUCGUUGGAGAUUUCGUCGACUAAACGAGCGUAGGACCUGAUAAACGCGGUGAAACUCUCGGGGUCCGAUGACGAAACGUCACGGAAAUUGCAAGGGUAUAAAGAGAUUGAACCAUUGGACCGAUUGAUUAAUAGUUCGGUUCGAAAAAGGCUGUCUUCGGGCGACGACCGAAGUAGUCGGUGAAGUAGGAGUAAGCAUUUUAAUGCGACUCGCCAGCUUCGGGUUUUACCCAAGCGGCGAGCGAAACCAAGAGAGAAAGCUCGGCAACACGGUGGAGAAAUGGCGAAUAGCCGGAGCAAUUGGUGGACGUAUUUGUCGGAUAACGGAGAACCGUUCGGAGCCGUUGCUUUUACAAUGAUGUGAUCAACGUUGCAAAGGCCCCCCAUGGUGGCGAUUUUGGCGUAGCUAAGGCAUGUAUGCUCUUUUAAAGCAUUGAAAGCUUGUUGAAAUGAUUUAGUCAUGGUUUUUAGGGAAACCCUAAAGAAAGGUUUUCUUUUUUGGUGUUUUGGGGUCUAAAUGCAUGGAAUUUAUGGCAUGGGAAUUGGUUAUUUAUGGUCGUUUAUUAUAUGUUAAAAAAAGGUUAAAAUAUGUUGUUAGUCCCUAUAUUUUGAAAAAGUUUGAGAUUUGAUCCUUACAUUUAAAAGGUUAGAAGUUAAGUCUUUGUACACUUUAAAUUUAAAAAUCCCAUUCCAAACAUUAAAAUCGUAAGUAUUUUUCUUCAAAAUAUAUCAAAUUGACAUGUUGUUUAGACUGCUAUCAUUUGAAAUUACUGUUUUAAAAACCAAACGAAUGUUCGAAUGUGUUAGACUAUCGAUUCAACCAUUGAUCUAACAAUAAUUAAAUAAACAAUUAAAAAUUUGAUAAAAUUUAUUAAAAUUUGUAUAUACAUAUUCAACCACCUAUUUAUUGUCCAUUUUUUUUCUAUCAAUUUUAAAUGAUUUGCUCAAAGGCUAGCUUAAUACUUUUGUCCAGAUCGAUAUAACGGCUUGUUCGUGGUCCAACUGAUCCAAUUCCAACAUUGUGUGACAUGCCAUAUGGUUGAUGUAAAAUAAACUUAUUAAGUUAACAAUUUUCAACAGAAACUACCAAUCACGAUAAUAAUAAAAUUUCUAAAUCGAAAAAGUAAAAAGAAUAAAUUUUAAAAUAUACGGAUUAAAUCUCAAAUUGUAUAGAAGUACGGGAUUAACAACAUAUUUUAACCCUGGGAAAAAAAUAAUAAUAGGUUUCAAGAUUUACUAUGCCAUUGGAUUGAUCGAAACUAAGCUACAAUUACGAGAAAAAAAGUGUUUUGGUUUUAGUGAACUAAAUAAAAAUAUGAAAAAUUAACGUAGUUGUCAACAGAUAGGGCAAAAUAAAAUAUCUUUAUUUAAUGACUUUGUUGAUGCCUUUUGGUGAUUAGGGAGAAUUUUUUUAUUUAAUUAAUUUAGAUUUAAAUUAAUUUAAUCAUAAAAAAAUUAAUAUUACAAACAUAAAAUGAUUACACCAUGUAAUUAAAAAUGAUCCGAAAUUAAAUUAAAUAAAAUUUUAAAUAAUCUAUAAAAAUCCGAUCCAAAUUUAACUUAAAAUUGUUUGGAAUGAAUCGAAAGAAUGACAACUUAGAACUUGGUUUGUACGUGGUCGACAAAUAAAAUUAUUAUUAUUACUAUUACUAUUAUUAUUAUGUUAAUUAAAUUACGACACUAAAUUAAUAAAUUAAAAUAUUAGGGAUGAGCUUUUCAACGGGAGAAUCAAUUCGAAGUACUAAAUGUUAAGAAGAUAAGAAGAGUACUUCAUUUGGCAUAUAUGAGAAACAGGGAUGAAGUUAUAAAAUUUUUUGGGUUGAAAUUAAAUUAUAUAUGUUUAUGAUAAUAAAAUUAUAAUUUCGUCAUUUUAAUAGCUUAUAUCUUUAUAAUUUUUAGAGGAUUAAAUUAAAUUUUUAUUAUUUUUGAGGCCGUUAAACUGUAAUUUUAUUAUUAAUAAUUUAAAAUUUUUAUAAAUUAUAAAAUAAUUUUUUUUUCUAUUUUAGGAGGUUGGGCACCUGCCAAUACCCUUAGAUUUGCCCUGAUGGCAAACAUAUAAGAAAAUCCAAUGUAUAGCAAGAAAUUAAGAACUAUACAUGUAAGUUUUUUAAGGUUAUAAUCAUAAUUGUUUAUAAUAAGUACAAAAACAAAUAAAUAAUUUAAUAAAUUAAUUUACGAGACUAAAUCUAAAUCAAACUCAUAUGAUGAGAUUUGAAAAUAUUAAAUUUCACUUUUACACACAUAACUAUAUUAGAAAUAGUGUGUAGUUAAAAGGUAAGCAAGACCUUGGCCUCCUAUUUAUUAGAUGUUUCUCGAUUCGAUCUUACAUAUAGGUAUUGAAUAGUGGCAGAGAUAGAAAAAAAAUUUUGAGGCCAAAAUUAAAUUGUAUAUUUUUACGAUAGUAAAAAUGUAAUUUCAUCAUUCUAAUAGUCUAUACUUUUAUAAUAUUUAAAAAGUUAAAUCAAUUUUUUAUCAUUUUUUAGGGGUCAAAAUAUAAAUUUACCAUUACUAAUUUAAAAUUUUAUAAAUUAUAAAAUAUCUAAAUGUAAAAUUUACUAUUUUAAGGGAGGCUAACCUCCUGCCAAUCCCUUAGCUUCGCCCUAAUACCGAAGUUUAGGAAUGGCAAUAAAAAGACACUUCCAAUAUGACUAAGAAAAUCCAUGUAAAAUGUAAUUAAGCCACAUUUUAACUUCCUGGUACCUAUUCUAGCGUCGCCUUUGAAUUUAUUAGUUACAUAUCUCUGAAUUCUUGUUAAGGGUUAGAUCUUUUAUAAAAUGUUGAUUAGAUUAAUUGGCCAAUAUUUUGAUUAUUGGUCAAAUUAUGAUUAUGUUGAAGAUUUAAUCAAUAUUACUUUUAGGAGUCAUAAUUAAAUAUAUCAAUAGUUUUUAUUAAAUUUAAUCAUUAUAGGUAUUGAAUUUAAUAAUUGAGUUUAACUUUGACUUAUUAUUUAUUUAGUUCAUAUAUUUAAAUAUAAACAUUCAAGAUUUUGAGGUUGUUUUUUUUUUCUUACAUAAUUUAUAAAAUUACCUAUAGGCCCUCGCAAACUAAUAAAUAAGAGGAUAGUACGCUUCAGUACAUUCGAAUUCACGUCCUUCUAUAUUGAAUUUUAUGUCGAAAUUGGUUAUUAUAAAUUUAGAAUAUUAAAAUUAAGUCAAACAAAGUAUAUGAAAGUGAAAUCAAAAUUAUGACUUUUAAUAUUAAUAAUAAUUUUAAUUAAUAAUAUCAUGCUAACACUAACAUUUUUGUAAUGAUAUUAAGAGUAAUUUAUUAACUAAAUAAGAAUUUAAUCAUAAUUUUUCUUGAAUAUUAUUUUGUUAGAAAUAUACUGUUAAAAGAGUUUUUUUACAAACAUACACAUCUCACAAUUCACGUGUUGAGGCCAAUAGUAAUGCAUCAAGACACACAGACAUGCACGACUUUUGAAAUGCCUUAUUUACAUGCAAGAACACGAACUCCAUCCACUAGGUUUUUCAUCAGAUUUGGACUCUUCAACUUUUUUAGGUUUAAUUUCUGAGGAAUCUCUUAAAGAUUUUUCCCUAAUUUUCUCCAUGUCAGGUUUUCCAUCAAAAUUCAACUCCCUAGUUUUAACUUCUGGGGAAAGAAUUUCUAAGGUUUUAGAAACUUUUAAAGAACCUUCUUCUCGUGAAGAUUUUUCCCUGUUCUUCUGCCUAUGAGGUUUCCCAUAAGAAAUCAAUUCUCCGCUCUCGGUUUUAACUUCUAGGGAAUCAAAAUCUUGCGCAGACUUUUCCCUAAUUUUCUCCACACGAGGUUUCUCAUCAGAAAUCAACUCCUCAUUCUUGAUUUUAAUUUCCAGGGAUUCAGAAUCUUGCGAAGACUUUUCCCUAAUUUUCUCCCUCUUUAUUUGAAGAAGCUUAUUAUAUAUACACCAAGGAAAGCUAAUGAAAGGUUCUUGAUCAGCCUCAUUGUUAUUUGAACCCCAAAAACUUGGAUGGUAUGUCACAUGGUACCAAGCUGAAGCUUUUGCAAACACAUCCUCUACACUAGGACUCGCUUUCUCAUUGAACCAACUCUUGGCUUCUCUUCUCAACGAUCUCACAGCUAAAUUUACGGCUUCUAAAUCGACUUUCCGAUCGAAAGAUUUAGCUAAUUUCAAGAUACAACCGCCGAUGAUCUCGGCCUCGGUUUUGACCCCGUAGGUACGCAUUAGGUUAGCUAAUUUAUAAUCAUAUUGUUUCUUGUUAUGAACUGCAUCAUUGACAUAAGCUAGAAAGCCUUCGAAUUCCAUAUCGGGGUCAUACAAACGUGUCGCUAUUGACUUGGUGAAGUGUUUACUGGUACUAACCUCGGCUUCAAUGCUUUUCACCUCGCGGUAGAGAUGGCCGAUCACGGACUGUGAUUCGUAGGUGAACUUGUCAGGCUUUUCCAUGAAAUCCGGGUAUUCUUUGGCGCGUAAACGAUGGGGUAUUUUGGCUGGAAUGCCGGUUUUGGGGAAGUCGACCGCGACGGACGAUAGCUUGGCAAGCUCGAUGCAUUGUUCGCUAAGUGCCUUUGUGGGCUCCUUGUCGGCGAACACCGUGUGGGCAUUAGAAAUGAUGCCCAAGCUAUCAUUGAGAAUAUAAUUUGUGAAAUACUCCGCCACCUCCUGCACAUUUAAGUGUGUAUAUAUAAUUGAGUAUACUCAUAUCAAAUAAGCACUUGUAUCUAACACACUUCAUACCUGAGAAAUAAAGUUAUAUAUAGUAAAAAUAAUAAGUAAAUUAGUUCCUAUACAUUAGAUCAAUGAAAAAAUUGGUCUUAUGAUCCAUGUAUGUCAGUAUGAAAUACACAUGACAUCUAACAUAUAGGGAUUAAUUUGUUAUAAAGGCUUUCAUGGUAAUUUUACUGUUAUAAGACAUGCUUGCUGCUUUUUUUAGUAUAUGAUUUGAGCAAAUACCUCUAUGGUAACAUCAUGGUCUAACAGGGUACUUUGUGCAGCACCAUAAUCCAUGGGAGGAUAUCUGCAGGGGGGAAUGAGAUCUUCAUCCCAAGAAACGAAAUAUAGAUCGCCAUCCAGAUCGCUUCCUGAACAUUCGUUCGGAUGGGGUCUGUAUGAUCACGUAAACAAAUUAUUUAGUUUGAAAUAUUAAAUACAUAUUCGGGUAUGAUUCUCAAGCAACAUAGUAAAUAAGUACAAAAGUGCAUUUGAGUAUUGGAUAGUCAUACCUAUGGCCUUUCUGUGGGAAAACAACGCAAUCCACCAUGUGACGCAGAACGACGGCAUCCACGGCCUCCAGAACUCGUAGGUCACCGGGGUGCAAACACGGAUUUUUGGCAAUGACGACCUUCCCUUCAACAACAUGGCAGUUUUGGUAUGACCUUCCGUCGCCGCUCGAAGAUUGGCUUGGUUUAGUUGAGUAUUGGACAAACACUUGACCGUAUUCAAGUGUCCCUGUUUCAUCUAAGCACCCCAUCAGAAUUCCUCCUUUGUCAAUCGAAAUCCUUGUUCUAGUCCUUAGAUCUAGCAGCUUCGACGCACGGAUCGUUCGUAGCAUCAUUGAAAGGAAUGGUUCCGAGUCCGGUUUGUAGCCGCACAAAAGCAUUUCUCUUAAAACCCUUACAAUUUCACCAUGGUGUAUGCUUUCCAUUGCCUCCUUUGCCUUUUCUGGAUCCAUCAACAUUGCAUCCAGUCGAGCCAAAAACACUUUCUGCUUCGCCUCGAAAACACUAUCCUUGACCCCAAGUGUCGACAUAAGUAUGAUUAUUUGUCUAUUAAGGUAACAAGUGUGGUACUUGCUCCAAGACAAAACAUCAAGACUCGUAGAGUCCGCUUCGAACUUCUGCAUACUUUUCCUUAACGAUAACUUCACCGAUGAUGAGGGAUCAACAGCUACAACUCCUUUGUAACCACCAUAUCGAAUUUGAAACGCAGAUGGAGUAUGUUUCAAGCCACAUUUCCAUGCUACUUGCUUAGCAAGUUUAGCCGAUAUUUUCCCGAUACCAUCGGAGAAGUUAUACUUAUUCCCACCGGUUUCAACUUCAAUGUCGGGAAUUAUCUCGAUUUCAUCCUGACGAACUUCUAAAGUUUCCCUCGAUGAGCUUAAAGAUUGGCCUAACCUAGCUGCAUAUUUCGCCACAUUCCUAAUAACAUGAAUAUGACCCAUUUGUCCUCUUAUAUCAUCAGCAGUAAGCCCAGGCUUGGAUGCGAACAUCCAGAUUGAAUUCUCUCGUAACUGACUAGUUGAACAAGCAAGAAACUCAAAUUUCUUAUCGCCAAUAAGUAUCCCGUUUCUCAAAGUUGUUAAUAUCCUCUGAAAUAUCCUAGUAGGCUUCCCAUCGGUACUAGAUGUACUCGACGACAAAUCCGUUGAAUGUAUCUUCCCAAGCUCCUCGUCAACGAAAGAAACUCGUAAAAAGUUAUCAAUAUCUUUAAUAUACUUACGAAGGACCCUGUUUGAAAGAUUAACAUCUGGACCGCUGAAAUACACUUUAGACGGCGUCAGUUGAAUCCUCCUUACCGCUACUAACCCUUCAUCGAGUUUGGGUGGUCGAGGACGCUUUUCGGGCUUAUGAUACUCCUUGUACUGAUCAUUCAGCCACUUGACUGGAUCAUAACAACAAUCUUUGAAACCAAACAUUUUCUCCAAUGCAUGUUCUAUGAAUAAAGUUUCUAUCCUGCAGGGAUCAACAAGCUCAAAGAACCUGGAAUCAAGUGCCGUGGGAGGCAAGUAACCGUGCUGGAGCAAAGCAUUCACUUUGAACAAGAUGUUGUAAGGCAAAUCAAAGCCUGGUGGUGGGGUUAUUAUGGGGACAAGAUCGGUGUUGGAUGAAAAUGGGGAGCCGGGUUCGAUGACGAAAUUGUCUUCGAUUUUCUUGUAAUAAAAACUGGUGUCGAACCUUGGGAGCUGAACUGAUCGAGGAAGCUCUAUGCACAUGCCGAAUGAUUGACCAAUACAAUGGCCUGGUGUAAAAUCUACUUCUCUGACCCAUUGCUCCUCGUCUGUGAGUUCCUUGGAAGAGCUGAGAGCAAUUGAUGGAUCUUUUUCAUAGAUCCUAGGGGCUCCAAGUAACUAGAAUAUAAAAUAGAUGGCGAAAAAAGUCAAUAAUCCCCAUGAUAUUGUGGCAUAAAUAAAAUACUAAAUACUCUUUUUAAUUGGACUUCAAUUAUUAAAUUAAAUGAGUAGAGAGGUUGGUUUAUAUUAAAAAUAGAAAGAUUCAAUUCUUAAAAUUAAAAAUAAAAAAAACUAAAUUUUAAAUAUAUAAAGAGUACAAGGAUUGAGAGUGGAAUUAGGCCUUUUAUAUAAUAUCUUUAAAUCCAACAUCUUCAACUUUAUUUUAUUUUUUCUAAUAUUUAUCCAACAGCACAAAAAUCUCAUAACUUACUCAUAAUACCGAUGUCUAUUCUCCAAACUAAAAACAGCUUAAAUCCAGUUAUAUACGAUAAUGGGGUAAAAUUGCAGUACUAGUCCCAUAGUUGCCUCUCUAUAUUUUUAAAAUGAGCAAAAUCAUGUCCUUGUACAUUAAAAGAAAUAGUAAAAUUAUCGUUUUCAUAAUAGUUGAAUAAAAAAUAUUAAUUUAAUGAGAUUCUUUUAAUUAAAUGAUGUGACUUUAAAAUAUGAUAUUACAUAUUCACUCAACCCAUUCUAACUUAAAAAACUUAAACUAUUUGCAUUUUAACUAUUGCAUUUAAUAAGGGAAUGACAUGAAAUCAGGUUAAAUGCAACUGUUUUAAACUAGAAUAGAUCCCGUAAAUAUAUUAUAUCGCUUAAAAAUGCCACUCCAUAUUUUACAUUAAUAUCACAUAUCUCAAACAUUAACAAAAAUAAUCAUUUUACUCCUAUCAAGUAUAAAAUUUUUUUUAGCAUAAUGAUUUAUUUGACCCUUUAAUUUUAUAAAAAAAUUUAUUUUAGUUUUUCAUUUAAUCUUUCAUCUUUUUUAACUUUUAAACUUGCAUUGAAUUAUUAACUUUGCUGACAUGACAUUCACAUGGCAACAUUAACAAUUCAUUAAUUGCAAAUGUAACAUCCACAUAGUUUGUCAAACUUGUCCAUUCAUUUACAAAAAUAAUUUUAAAAGCUAAAAAAAGUAAAAAUUAAAUGAAAAGUUAAAUAAUUUUUUUUGUAAAAUUGAAAUGCUAAAUAAAUUAUUAUCUCAGCAAUCUAUAUUUAUUUGUAUCGGAAAUAUGAAAUCGAUCCAAAUUAAAAGUAAUGGACUUCAAACAUACCUGAAUGAGCAAACAUUUCUUGGUGUGGUCAGGCACAUAAUGUACCACCAUCUGCCAAACAUUGUCAUUGUAAAGCUCGAGCUUGUAGUCGACACCGUUGUAAGACAAAAAGAAGUAUAACUUGUCCAAUUUUUGACCAUACUUGAACGAAACAUGAGAUUGGUUCCAAAGCACAAUGAAUUUGUCUUUUGAAGCUGAACUACCAAAAUGUAACAUCAAGUCAUCAAUGCUUUGGAGAUCAAACCUGGGCUUUUGUGGGAUGAUGUUGUGUUUCAAUGACCAGGCUUUCAAAUAAGACUCGUUGUGCCAAAGUGCUUGACUUGAGGUCCACGACAAGAUCCUUUCCACAUCUUCCAUGUUUUUGAAUUGUACCUAGUCAAAGAUAGAAAUUUUAUUCGAAGGAUGGAGAUAAAAUGGUAAAAUUUUAAAAAAAAUCGGUGUUAAAAAAAACUUAGUUAAAAUAACUUAAAUUUAAUAUUUUAAUUUAGGAGCAGGCUUAAAAGAAAUUUUCUCCAUCCAGCCAAGGGGGCGAACCCGCUGCCUACUUCCUUGUGUACCUUGGCGAAAGAUCUCGAGCCUUCUUUGUGACUAACUUUUACAGUCUCCACGGUUCCUUCACCAGUGUAGUUCUCGAGGAGUUGCCUCACUUCGUCGAUUGUUACGGCUGAAGCAAACCCGUAGAGCUUAAUUGUCUUGCUCAUUUCCUCGAACUGCAACUUCACUAACACCCAAAAGAAUAAAAAUAGAAAUUAUUGCUAACAAACAAGUUAUUAGAGAAAAAGGAGUAAUUUUUUUUGUAACAAAUUGAAAAAAAUAAUUUUAUGAGACGAAUUUAAUUUAAAAUAUGAUGUAAAUUUUUAAAAUAUCUAAUUUGUUCAUAAAACUUGAAUGCAGGAUUCGAAUUCUUUAAAUUACAAUAAAUUAUGUAAAUAUAUCACAUCAUAUUUUAAUUUAAUAUCACAUAAAUUUAUCACACAAAAUUAACAUUUGUUUAUAUUUCUAAUGCACAAAUCCCUACCAUAAUAUAAUGAACACACUUUUACCUAUCCCAACAUAAAUAUGAGAACAUGAUGUUCUCAAUAUGUAAAAUUAAUAUAUAUAUAUCAAUAUUACAAUAUCAAAAAUAUAUCUAUACUCAAUAUUCAACCCUAAAUUCAAAUAACAUAAAAUAAAACUAUUAUAAUUGCAUUCAAAUAUUGGACUUCAUGGAUGGUUUACGCUUUCAUUUAGCUUUAAUUUAAUUAAUCAAAACUAAAUCAAGUUUAUAGCUGCUUUGUAUUUUCUAUAAUGUUACUAUGUUAUUUGAAUUUAUUCUGUUUAAAAUGUAUUUUUGUUUCACGUAAUCACGUCUAUGCUAACACACACUUAUGAAAACAUAAUCUUGUAAAUGUAUAUGAAGUUUUUAGAAAAAAAUGAUACAUAUUUCGGGCCAUAUUAUUAGUCAUCCUUUAGAAAAGAAAAUCAAAUUAUUUUAAAUUUGGGGAAAUUUAAAAUUUCUCCAUAUAGCUUUCGGCUAUGACUUAACAAAUUUGAUGAUCUAAUUCAAAUGGCGCAAUAAAAACAUAAAAGCAAUAUCAAAUUCAAAGAAAAUUUAUUAGAACAUUCUUGUACUGUGUUCUUGACUCACUUCUUUUAUUAAUUUAAUCUCUACAAUAUUUUAAUUAUUAAUAAUCCUUCAAUUUCUUGAAAUACGUAUUUUCAACACUAAAAUCAACUUUUUUUCAUUAAUUCACAAACUAAUUUGACAUAAUUUUCUUUUAAAAAAACACAUGAUCUCAAAACGAUAUAUCGCAUGAUCGAUUAGAAGAGCAAAUUAUAACCAAAAAGAAUCAAAUCUUCAAAAAAAUAGUGCACAUACCUUCAAUAAAAUUUGGCCCAAAAAUUUGCAAAAAAAAAAAGAAAAAAAGAAAAAUCGAGUCAGCCGUGAAUUAAUUCAAAAGUAAAGAAACAAAAGAUGACGAAGAAUUAAUCAUGGCAAAAAGCAAAUAGAAAAAUAAAAAAGGAUCAGAGAAACUCACUAGACUUGGAAAGAGAGGUAUGGGACCGAAGAAAAAUAAUUACGAAAAGAAUCUAAAGAUUCAAAACACAAACAAAAAGAAGAAAACAAAAAUAUUAGAACAAAAAUUUAAAGUAAAACAGAGAGAUUAAAACGAAGAAGGAAAAAGAGAUUUUUAAAAAAAAUCGAAGAACAGAGAGAGACUUUACUUGAAUUUGAAAAUGGGAAUUCACAACAACUAAGAAAAUUUGAGAGAUUUUUGGAGGACAAAAGAAAAUCAGAGGAAAAAUAAGAAAACUAAAAGAGAGGGAGACAAUGUGAAAUUGUGGCGCCAAGAAACUGAUAUUUAAAUGAGAAAAAGGAAAAUAAAAGUGAAGGUUUUUGGAGAUUCUAUGCUUUGGAUUGAACGGUUAAUUUUAGAAUUGUCCUGAUAACGUAAGGGAGAUGACGUCAGGCUCUCCCUUCCCCAUUGGGUUUGAUCAUAUACCGUUUAACUUUGUUGAGAUCGAAACGUUUCUAAAUUCAAUUGGUUAAAAAAUAGGGUUAAUUCACCAUACAUCCCCAAAUUAUAACAUUUGUUCUAAAGUGGUCUAAAACUUUAGAAAAUCCUAAUUAUAUUCCUAAACUAUCGAGGUUUUAUUAAUAAGGUCAUUCCAUUACUAAAAUCAUUAAUUUAACCGUUAAAUGAUAUGUCAAGUCUUAUAUGGCAUAGUUUAAAACGAAAAGUUUAAAGAAAAAUGAGUGUUGUAAAAAUUUUGUUUUUGAAAUUUUCGAAACUUUUACAAAAGCCUUGGCGCUCACUCUCUUUUUUUUUCGAUUUUAUUUUAUUUUUAGUGUUUACUUUUAAAAGUUACGUGGUAACGUUUUACUUUUCCUUAAAAUUUUCAUGUAGAAUGACAGUCAUAAUUUGGAGAUGUUUAAUGCAAUUAACUCUAUUUUUUUAUAUUAAUAAGUUGGUCUAAUUAUGUGGCUUUCAUAGUAUUCUUUGAACUUUUGAGAUUUAUGCUCUUUACUUUUAGUUUCAGACAUUUAGGGUCUGUUUGAUUGAAGGAAUUGAUUUUCCGGAAAAUCAUUUCCAAUUUUUCCAGCGUUUGAUUGGCGGAAAACAUUUUCCAUUUGGAAAAUGAACUCCAAAACAAGGGAAAAUGGGUUACAUUUUAGGGAAAAUGUCUUACCCUUUCAAUUUCCCUAAGACAUUUUCCGUUCUCUCAUCUCUAUCGCCUCCUUCAUUCAUUCCUUCGUUUCCGGUAGAAAAUUGCUUCUAUUUAUCGAUUUUCCAGUAACUUGUUUUUUUAAUUAUUCAAUACUUGUUUUUUUUACACAAUUACAAAUAAUUUAUUUGAUAUUUAUUUUUUUCAAUUUAUAACGAUUAAUAUGUGGCUUAAUAAUUGAGUAUUAUUAUAAAUAAAUCAUUGCAAUAUAUGUAAAAAUAAUAUAAAAUAUAAAAAUUUAUUAAUAUAUAUCAAUAUAUGUAAAAACAAUUUUUUCAAAAAUAUUUUCAGGAAAUCUGCCAAACAGCCGAAAACAUUUUACACAGAUCCAAUCAAACACCAGAAAAUAUUUUCCAGUAAAUUAUUUUACAGAAAAGUAAAACAUUUUCCCGAAAUCAUUUUAUGGAAAAUAUUUUACUGGCAAUCAAACAGACACUUAGUCUUUAUGUUUAUCAGAUUUGAAAAUUCAAAUUCAUUUUUUUAAAACUUAUUGAGGGGUCAGUUCUUUUAUUGAGAGAAAUUUUUGAAUUGUUACACUAUGAGCAGUGAAUCAUACCCUCAAAUAAUGGAGGCAUUAAUGUUCUUAGAUGUCUAUGCUUAAUUUUAAGCCUGAAUUUUUGUUUCCCUACUUCAAGAAAAGCCCAAAGAGGUUCACGGAAUUUUGACAGGAGCACAUAGGUCCAACAAAAGAAUAUUGUGUUAGAUUUUGAUUAUUUUUAAUAUUAUAACAAUGUGUUUAAUUUAUUUUGUAUGUAUAUAUAUACACUAGUUUGCUUAGCUAACUAGAAUUUCAUAAUAAAAUAAUUUAAUUUUAGAUAAAAUAAAUUAGAGGACGCCUUUCAAAUGGAUUUAUCUAAUUAAAAGUUAUUAUGCGGUAAAAUUAUAUUUUAAUUUCUUAAUCAUGAAAAAGAAAUUCUAUUUAGUCCUUUUAAAAUUGAUAAAAUUAUACGUUAAUACAAAAUAAAACUACACUUUAACCUCACAAAAAAGUUUUAAUUCAAUUUUAGCUCCCCUAAAUAAAAUUGGAUUCGCCCUUGGUUGAAAUGAUAAUAUUGAAAAUUUGAAAUUUUAUUGUUUAAGUUCGAGUCUUAUUUUAGCUUAAAUUUUUCCGCUAAAUUAUUUCGGUCUCGAUUAUUUUUAAUUGUCAAACAGUAUGAUUACAUUUAUACCAUUUUAAAUUUAAAGAAAAAUAAUUUAAAAGUAUAUAACUUUUUUCUUUAAUUUAAAAAAGAAACUUGGUAAUUUAAGUUUGGUGAUUCUUUACCUUUAUCAAGGUUCAAAGUUAUGCUUUAUUUUACCAAUGAGGAAAAAGAACUUUGCUUUGGAGAUUUCAAAGUAUGGAAAGGCUAUAACUUAGCUAUUGCUUCAUUUAUUUGAUUACUCAAAUUUGGUGCUAACUUUAUAAUAGACAAAUGGAAUCCAGAAUAUAUAUUUUUUAGUUGAGAAAACAAGCGAUUAACUGCUUAUAAAUGUUAGGCUCUUAAGAUGAAUUUUGAUAUGCGGUACAUUUAUCUGUGGUUAAUGUAAAAACAACGGUGGUGGUGAGAUUAGUUACUGUAACGAUAUUGUAGCAUGAAACAAAAAAUAAAUUAAACACACCGUACCACACCCAAUCACCCAUUCAAAUCCACCCUUAAUCCAGUUACUCUAAUAAUAUCAUCUUUGAUUAAUCUCGUGAGAGGUAGAAGAGGGAUCCCAAUAUUUUCCAUUACGGACCCAUAUCUUAGCGCCCAAGCAAAUAAGCAAUAGGAAAUCAGCACAACAGUUUGCUAUUCUUUUUUAAGAUUUAUCUAACAAAUGCUUAGUUGUAAUUUUAAAUAAAUAAUUAAAAAAUAUAUUAUGGUGAAAAUAUUAUUAACAAAUAUAUUAAUAAAAAGUUGAUAUUAAAAGUAAAUAAGGCUUUAGUUGAAAUGUUAAAAUUAAAAUUUUAAAUUUUAAAAUUAAAAAAAAAACGUUCAUAUUAAUGUGUGUUAUUUUAUAAAAGGAAGAAUUUUAGAAAUUGUUCAACUGAGUUGAGACUUAGUUAUUGAUUAGCGAGGGAGACUAAUUUAGUCAACCAUUUAAAUAUAGUGCAGAUAAUUGUAAUACUAUUUAAAUGUAGUAAUUGAAAUUUAAAAGUGUUUUUUUUUAAAUAAUAAGAAAUUAUAUUAUUAUAAAACCCUUAAUUGAGUUUAGCAUAGAGAUGUUAAUAGGUUGAGUACGACGAAGUGAGUCUAUACAUAAUAUUAAUAUAUUUCAUACUUGCUCUAGCUUAAUUGAUAAAAAAAUGUGAUUCUCAAAUUUUAUUUAAGCACACACAUUUACAAUUGGUGAAUGAAAAUUUGUUUUAGGUCCAUUAUAGUAAUUUUUACAGAAAAUUCUAUUUUUAGAUUAACAUGUUCUAAUUCAAUAUAAUGGCUAAAAUGCUAAAUAAGUUUUCCAAAAAUAAUUACAAAAUUAAUUAUGCCCCUCGUAAAAAAUGCAUUCAAAUGAGUUUCUUAAAUCUGUGAUUUGUACUAAAUUGAACAUAUUAAUUACUUUAUUUUUUUGCCCAAAUUUUUGAUGAGAUGUUAAAUGUUGAUGUGACAGUUAAAGUUAACAUAAAAAAAAUGACGCUAAUUUUUUUUUAUUGAUUUUUAAAUUAUUUGAUAAUGAUUUAAUUAAUUUUUAAUUAUUUUACAAAGUUUUUUUAGCUUAUAUAUACAUUUUAAAAAAGUAUCAAAAUAAAUAUGAAGUUCUCGAUAAAAGAGAAAGAACCUCAAGUACCAAAUUAAACAUUGAAGCGAAAUACAGGUGCUAAAUAAUAUAUUAACCCGGAAAGCAACACUUAAAAAGGCAACAAAAAUACAUUUAAAAGAGAAUAGUGGUGGCAGCACUAGUGUAAAUUUAAAAGAUGAAAAGCAUAACCCACUGAAGGCUUAGUCGGAAAGUUGCUCACAAAGAGAGGUAACUUCCCUUUUCCUUUUUAUUCUUCUGUUUCAUUAUUCAAUUCAUUUUGAUUUGUUUUUUAAUUUGUAGUGUUCGAUUUUGUGUUUGAAUUUUCGAGAUUGACAAUUCGAUGUGGAAUUAUCUUUUCUUUGAUUUACUUGUAUGCAAUUGUAGGUUUUGAUAAACUGAAAUUAACCAAAAAAACAGGACGCAGUGUAGUUUCACAUAGGAUUUUGGGAUUUAGGGUUUUUAUUAAAGUGGUUUUUGAGUGAAAUUGUUGAAAAAAAGAGGAAAAAAUGACAACGGAAUCGCUCACAGGUUUCACUUUGGGAAUAGUUUAGGUUCUAUUAUGAAUAAGUUCCAAUCAGAUGCUAUGAACACCAGUUCCAAGAUGAUUCCGAUCGGUGGUUACUUUGUACCGCCACUGCACAUGAUAUUGCCGGAGAAUUCCAGUACCACUUCCCCUGCUUUGAUCCAACCCGGAAACCCUUCCGGCUCUUCCCUCGAUUCUGUUGCAGGGUUCCAGCAUGAUAUGGGGUUUGCUACUGAAUGGUCUACUGAGGAACAAUAUAUAUUGAAGGAUGGCCUUGAAAAGUAUGUUGUAAUUCUGCUUUUCAUUCAAAGUCUUUUGGUGAUGUAUAUGCAUGUUUAUAAUUUGAAAUAAUAAUAUGAGUAAUGUGUUGAAUUGGUCAUAGACUCAUAGUUAAAGUAAUAGAUUACCUAAUUAUGUUACGAGGAUUGUUGUGUGCUUUUGUGUAUGAUUUUUAUGAUAAAACUGGUUUUAUGGGGGUACUUAUUAGCUAUGUUACUCGGAUUCGGGUAUGGUUGUUGUAUAUUGGUAUUUUUCUGACAGGGGUAUAUUGACACUUUCAAAGUUUUCUAUGUAUUUGAAGGGUCACAUUUUUAUACUUAUGUCCAAAUAGGUGUUGGACAUGGGUGUUGGAUAGGGUUACUUCAAUAAAAAUGAAGAGUUGUAGCAAACAUAGCUUAGUAGGAAAAUAAAAAAAAAAUGGUACUAAUUGUUUAUUUUCAUUUCAUUCUACAUGUACAUAGAUAUAAAGAGGAACCAAAUAUUAUGAAGUACAUAAAGAUUGCGGCUGUCUUGCCUGAUAAAACCGUACGUGAUGUUGCAUUGAGGUGCCGGUGGUUGCAAGUAAGCUCCAUGCUUUUUUAAUAAUGAAUUUCUACCAUCAUUGCUACUGAUUUCUAUUGCCAAGAAAGAUGAGUUACCGUUGACAUUAAGAUAUAAAGGUAGUUUUUGGAAAUUGGCAGAGAAAGCGAAGGAAACCUGAAGAACUUAAUGCUGGAAAAAAGGUGAACAAUAGGAAGGUAUGCUGAUGAAUCUUUGAAUUAUUAGUGGAUAUGAUUGUCCGUAUUCUAAUAACGAUUACUUCCUUAGUCAUGAGUCAUGACAUGUUAACAUGCUGCUAGAGGUCGAAAUAAUCGAUGUUCAACUCCACAAGGACCUUUGUUAAAAUUUUUCUUAUUGGCUAAAUUAGUGCUUGAAUGGUAAGAUGAAUUUAAGAGUAAACUGUUUAAAUUUGGACAAUGGAGCAUAAAAUUUAAGGCUUGAAUAUAAAAUAGACAACAGUAACUCGCUUUAAUAGCUGAGCUCAUUUUCAGUUCUGCUAUCAUGAGUCUUAUUGAGUUAAGGUAGUUUUGUUCAACCACUCAUUUGUACCAAUCCUAAAAAUAAUUUUGGAACCAUUUUAUUACGCUUCAUAUACAUACAUGGAUGAAUAUCUAUCCCACUUUUCUUGGUUGCUUUCCUUCUUCAAGUCAAAUUACAAACAAAACUGCUAAUUAUGGCCCAUAAGUUAACAUUAAUUAAAUUGCCUGCAUCUCAAUUUACUAAGUUAUAUUCCUGUUUUAAUUUCCUGAAUUGACUAUUAUUUUUAGGAUAUAUCGUGAUUGAGGAACCAGUAUUCUAACUAUCCUACUUCUUCAGGAUAAGCAGGUGGAAUCAUCUUCGAAGAUGAAUACGCCUACAGCUCUGCCGCAAAACAUGGCUGCAUCUCCAUUCAUGAUGCACCAUCUGGACCAGAUCAAAAGAAAGCCUUCUGAAGGUCUGUAAUCUCAAGUCCUUUAGGACAAACUUUUGGGUAAUGUUCAUAAAUAAUGUUUAGCUGCUUGCAUCAGUCAAAACUGAAAAGAAAGCCUGUGAAUACCUGCAAAAUGAUGGUAGCCUAAAUAUGUGUGGCAUUUAAAAAUAAAGUGAAAGAGUUGAUUCAUAAUUGAAAUUCACAUGUAUACAUCUAUUCAUAUGGUUGAGAAUCCAAACUUCUUUUAUAAGCUUGCAACAUUCUCCUUUGACCCAAGGAAAAAAAGAGUCAUUUUGAUUCCUAAGGUAUUGAACUUUUAAUCAUCAUACUCCGAAGCCUUCAAAAAUACAAAUUUGUAGACAGCAAUGCCAACUUGUCAUUCUAAUCCUAUCUUUAUAAUAUUGAAACAUCAAAUAAUUAGAAAAGGAAUUUGAGAAGGUAUCACAAGCCUUGCUGUUGAUGGCGUAUAGGUAUUGCAUCAUUAAAGAAUAUUGUUCUGAAUUGAGGCUUUUGGCAACAUGCCUGCUUGUGUUCGUAGUAGAGGGAUUAGGAUAACUUGAAUUACAUGUACACUGACCUGCUAAAGGUAUUAAUUGAUGUUAAUCUACUUGUUUGUUGUGUAUUUUCAGGAAUAAGUGGUACAACAAUUAUGCAUCUCUUGAAGCAAAAUGCUCAAGUUCUUAGUCAAAUCGCAUCCAAUCUUUCUUUGUGUAAGGUGAUUGUAUGAUUCCUAGUUCAUAGCAAUUCUUUUAAUUGAUGAAUGUUGAUGCCAUUAGAGUCGGAAUUGGAAUAGCUGGUGAAACUAGGGGAAAAAAUUGAUUUAUUAUCACUGUCCAGAACUUUUAGCUUCAUUUACAAACUGAUAUAAAUGGCAUAUAAUAUAACUGUUGGUUCGUCAUUAGGAUUAUAGAACAUAUCAACAGUCAAAUGGUGUUUCAAUAGAGAUUGUCAUGGACUCAAAUCGUUUCUUGUUCUGUUUAAUGUACUAAUAUAAAUCCUACGUCUAUUUCUUUACAUCAUAUAUGAUUCUCGGUGACAGUCUUAUCUGGCAGGCCUAUUAAGCAAAGCUUUUAUGUACAGUUACAGGAUAACAUUGAUCUCUUUUGUCAUGCAAGGAACAACAUUACCGCUGUCCUAAAAGAGUAUGUGCCAAUGUGGAUUUUCUUUAUAAUUAUCAAUUGGUGAUCAAUUCUCUUUACAAGCAUUUCAGCUUUUUGCAGCAUGGCAGAUGUGCCAGGUUUAAUGAGUCGGAUGUUGCCAUUGCCCGUAUCUGUCAAUGAGGAGGAUUUAGAAAAUAGCAUCUUGCCUUAUGCAACUCAGGUAAGUUAUUGUGAGCUUUCGAGAAUCAGAAUUCCUUGAUUCUAGUAUGGCCUAAGACAGAAACAAAACGAAAACUAACCAUAUUUACUGGAAACAGAACAAUAAAGAGAAUAACAACCUGAUCUUAUCCCCAACAAUUAGGAAUUCGACUACUUGUGGAACCCCGGUAUGCUUUUAUCACCUUCGUUUCGACAUACAACCUUUCCUCUAGUCAUUCUUAGUGUGCGGUUAGGUCAUGAAGCUGAGCACUGAAAUGUGUUAUAGGAUCUGGUUGCUCAUGCUACGUUUGGACAAAGAUCAAGAUGGUCGGGGGUUUGAAUUUUAGACCUCAAAUGGUGGAAAACUAGUUGCUCAACAAGGCAGUAAGUGAUCUUGUGUUGGUCAUGAUGGCAUGCUUUGUGCACUUGUGUUACCAUGUUUUGUUUGUUCUUCUUCUGUGUCCAGUCGAUUUUUGGCACAGAAGGCAGAUUCAUUUCAAGGAGUCAAGGAGCUGAUAGGGAAUUCCGGAAUUGCUGAGAUUGAAGUCGGAUUAUAUCAGGUCCGUGUAACUAUUACAACAAAUUUUAUACUGUAAAUGCAUGACAUACUGGUUGGUUGUUCUUCCUCUUUGCGUACACAAACACUCAAUUCACAUAUUAGGUGCUAUAAUGGAAAUUUUGUAUAGAUCCCAUUCUUUUGGAACCUGAAAUCUCACUGUUCACUUGAUAGAUGUUUUAUUUGUAUAACAUAGAUGUAGACGUGUCAAAUCUAGCCCAAAACCGAGAACCAAUGUUUUUUAAACUGGACUGGUGGUCAAACCGGUAAGACCACUAGUUCCCGGUUUGAUCAGUCCGACCGGUUUGUCCAGUCCAAUUGGUUCCUCUGGUUCGAUUGAAUAAAUUGAUACCAAAAUCUAAAAAUAGGAAAAAAAAUUUGGUUCAAUUGGUUUUACUGGCUGGUUUAAACCCUUUAUUCUGGACCAAUAUCUCAGCUGGUUCUCAAUUCAAUCUGUCCGACCAGUUGGCCCGGUUUUAAAAACGGUGCCGAGAAUGCAAUCUGAAUAACUUGAACCUGAUAUAACCUGGUUUGAUCAUAAAAAGUCAAAUCACUUAAAUUCCCAAUUCAAAUCUAAAAAUGCCUUAGAAUCAGAAAUGAUCUUGGACUCUUAACUCAAAAAUGUAACCUAAAUAAUCUAACUUGAAAACCAGAAACUAAAAUUUAUCCGAAUUCAAAAUAUUCUAAACCUGAAAUACCCUAUUCAAAGUAAAUUGACUGUGUCUAUAUAAUCAACUCAAUUCAUCCGAUUUACAGGUCUAUCUAAAUGUCUCUCUUGUUUUUUGUGCAUUUAAUUAAAUGUCCCAAUUCUUUUUUGAGAAAAUGAUUUGAUGGAUGAGAUGUUUAAAAGAUUGAUAUUAAAAAAAUUUGUAAUAAUUUGAAAGUCAAUUAUUUAGAGGUGAAUGUAUUUGAGGGGUCUUUUUAUUUUAGGAAUUUGAUUAAAGUAAAUUUUUUUAUUAAUAAAUAGAUUAAUUUAGUUACGUAAUUAUUAAAAAAAUUCAAAUAAAGUCGACCCAUUAUUGUUUAGCAAAGUUAGUAUUGAAAUGUUUAUGAUUAUGUAAAUGAAAAUUUUUUAUGCUGAGUUAAAUUCUUUUGAAGUUUUGUUGUUCUUUAAAUAGAACUGAAAUUGGAAAAAUAAAUUAUACGAUAAAUGUUAAUUCUAUUAUUAUUUAAUUUUUUUAAUAAUAUAGGCUAAAUUGAUCUAUAAUAUUAAUAUACAGGACCUUUUUGAUACUUGAAUAUUUGGGAAUUAAUAUCAGAAUUUGUAUUGAAUCUACUAAUUUUUUUUAAAAAAUAAAAUAUUAAUAGAAAUAUCAACAUUAUAAAAAAUGGAUUCAUUUCAGCAAAUUAAAGUGGAAUUAAAAAUACAUUAAACCAAACAAUACCUUCUACAACUCUGAAAAAAAAAUGGGGAAAUCUUUACAAUACAAACUCUACAAAUAUAAGUGGAAAAAUUAUGAAAGUUUCAAUGGUGAAAAAAAAAAAAUUUGAAAAACACUUUAAAUUCAGUGCCUGCAAAAAAAAAAAUCUUAUUAUAUCAAACCCUUUUUCUUUUAAAUGCUUAGUUGUUCCUCUCUAGGCAAGCUCUGAACGGUGUCCGACCACCGUCCCGGUGAAUGUUCACUACUAUUCGAUGAAACUUGAGCCUCGGCCCUUACGUCUCUAAUCAUCUUCAAAACUUCCCGCAUCAUGGGACGGUUCUCGGGCACAAGAGCAAUGCAAGCCAUUGCUAUGUUCAAAAGGGAUUGAAGCUUCCCCUCGGACGUUUCGUUACCUGACGUAGGUUCGUCCCCAGAUUCGGUCUCUUCCUCUCGAACCGAUCUUACCCAUUGAGGGAUAUCCGAGCCGUGUUCUUGAACAAGGUCUUGGAAGGGAGUUUUGCCCGUUAGGAGUUCAAGUAGGAGAACGCCGAAGCUAUAAACAUCGGCCGGCUGAGUCGAUGAUUUUCGGAUGUCCCGACAUUCGGGUGCCCUAUAGAAAAAAGUGGCCGCACUUGGCUCUUCUGGUGACUCGGGGUCUCGGAAUAACGUGAGACCAUAAUCCGUAAGGCAUGAUUCGAAGUCGGGGCCUAAUAAAACGUUCGAGGAUUUUAAAUUCCCAUGAGUUAAGCCUGGAUUUUGGUGAAUGUAAAGUAAUCCAGAAGCUAAAUCCUCUGCAAUUUUAAGACAAGAAGUCCAAUGAAGAGGCUUUCCACCACCAUUGGUUCUUGUUCCUGCAAGGAAAAAGACCAGUUAAAAACACUUAUGAAACAUGUAAUUUCCAUGUUCCUAAUUGAAAACCAAUCCGGAUGCCUUGCACUAAAAGUUAGAUUACAUUUUACUCUUUUCAUUUAAAAAUUAGAUAAAUUAAUUCCUGUAUUGAUUUUUUAAUUAAAAAUUCUAUUCAUUCGUACUACUAAAAACUGACAUAGCACGUACACCAUUUUGACAUACAGAGGGACCAAUUUGUCAUUUUGAAUAGAGGGAUAAAACACAAUUUAACUUUUAGUACAAAAACAUCUAUGGUACUUUCACUCAAUUUUUGCUUAGUUUAGUUUAGAAAAAUGAACAUUUCGGUUUUUUAAAAACCAAAAUAUUACAUAUCAAAAUCGGACCGAACCGAACCAGAAUGUAAAAAUGCCUAGAACCAUUUAAAUAAUAAUUUAAAAUUUUACCUCAAACAUCUACAAUUUUCAUAAACAUCAUAUUCCAUAAAACUAGAAAUUAUAUAUAAUAUAUACAUACACUAUUACAACCAACAAAAUGAAAAGGAAAAUAAUGACACCAUAGGGUUAAUUGAAUACAUAACAAAUUAUAAAACUGAGAAUUCAGAGAGUGGGGUGAAGGAACUGACAACAAUAACAUGCUGAAAUGUCAGACCAACACAGUUCCACAAUGAGUUGUCAAAAUAAAGCAAAACACUGUUAUUAAAAUUAGAGAUGUUAAUGGUAUAAGUCGAAUCAUAAUUCAAUAUUGUUUACUAGACUUAAACCCUAUCUAAAAUAUUUUUUAAAAAAAUCUUAUUUAGAUAUACUCAAAUUUUUAGGAUGCUUUUAUUAUAGAAAAAAGAAAAGGGCAUUUAACGGAACAAACUAAGAGUAUGUUUAGAUGAACGGUGAUUUUGAUAAGAUUAGAUACUAUAAUAAUACUAUAGCGUGAGAUAAAAAAAUAAACUAAAUACACAGUACGUAUAUCCAAUUCUACACUAAAUAAAUUUUCAGCUACCGUAACGUCUAUUUGUAGGCCUAUAGAGAAUGUAAGGAAACGCACAGCUUAGCUACUAGGACAGUCCCAACGAAACAUUUCCCAAUAAUAGAUUGUACUCUACUAAAACCACUAAUUGCAAUGUCGGGUUUUGAGAUAUUAUUUUUAAAAAUCGGAUCGGAAAUUGAAUUGACCAAACUUGCAAUUUGUCAAUUCAAUUGAAAAAUUAUUAAAAAUAAAAAAAUUAAUUGAUUCUUAGUUUAACCGGUUCAAUACUAUUCUUCAUAUUGAUAUCUUGAUUGAUUUUCUAUCUAACUAGUUCAAUCUGAUUCAAAGAUCUAGUUUCGAGUUUUAAAAUUUUCACAUUUAGAGUUAUUCUAUAAUCAAAUAAUUAGGGUUUGUUGAAUUAGGUCAUUUCAAGUUUUGAUUGGGGGAGUUAAAAUUGUUGAGCUAUGAAAAUGGACAGAUCAAAUCUAAUGAGUAUCACUUUGGGAUUUCAUCAUAUUCUAAGGAUAAAUCAAUAUUUAGCCUUUGAUCCUUUAUUUUUUUUCAAUUUGAUCCUCGAAUAAGAAAUGAUAACAUAACAUUUUAAGAUCGUAAAAUUUAAUAUACAAAAAAAAUAAAAAUUCAGAUGAUAUCAUAACACAAUCUUAAAACGCCAUUAUUAUCAUACCUUAAAAGUGGAAUCUAAAUUUAAAGAUUAAAUUAAAAAACAAAAACAUUUGUGGGUGAAUGAAAUUAUAGAACCUAACCCAUGGCCAUCGUAUUAUUUUAUGGGUGGGAUCUCUGAAAAGGACCUUUUUAAUGGGCACAUCCAAAAACGUGCAGUGCUAACUUUAUUCAAAGCAAUUCAACUUUUUGCAGACAAACAAAUUAUUAUACCUAAACUGCUUUUUUUAUAUAUAAUAUUCAAAUCCUCACGUUUCGUGUGCUAAACCCUAAAAUCAUGACUAAGAAUGUGACAUCUGCAAUCCUAAUUAUUUCUACUUAUUUAUAUAAAUCUUUAAAAAAUUUCACUGGUAUAAAUUAUUUUAAAUAAGAACAAAUAAAUUAAAAUUAAUUAUAGUUUAAUGUUACUAAUAAUUAGACUUAAAUUUCGAAAUCCGAAAAAUAGAUUAUUAAAAUUUUAAAAAUAAAAGUAUAAAAACUAAAUUCGAAAUUUAAGAUAAAUAUAGGACUGGUAGCAUUUUAACCUUUAGAUAGGCUACUUUCUUCCAUUCUCAAAAAAAAUUACCAUUGGUUUAAGGUUAUUAUAAGUGAGUGGGUUAAUAUUUUUGUCCCAAAACUACAAUGAGUAUUUUUUUAAUAAUUUUAAUUUUUUUAAUUGUAAUAAAUUUAAACCCUAAACUCUAAAAUAUGUUUGAAUGAGUCAAUUUUCUUUUUAAAUAAUCUUUGAUCAUAUAUCUACUCUUUUUUAAUAUAAGAUUUAGAAUUACUCAUAAUUCCUUCUUUUUAACUCGUAAAUAGAAAGAUAAUACGUUUUAGCGCACUCAAACUUACAUUUUCCUAUAUCAACAACAAUGCCCAUGUUAAUCGAGCUAAGACUUAUUCAAUAACAAUAACGUAAUUUAAACCCUAAACCCUAAAUGAAAUUGACUAAAUAAACUCGAUUCAUGUAAAAAAAUUAUAAUAAAAGAAUAGAGAAAUGAUUAUCAAAUUUGGGUUUGAACCUAACUCUAAAUUAUGAUUUCUAUUUAUUAUUUUGAAAUUAAAUUUUAAUUUUUUUAUUUUUUCUAAAAAUGUUAAAUCUUUUAACUAUUUUUAUUAAAGGACAGACAUCCACUCUAACUCAUGAUACUAAUGUGAUUUUUUCUAUACUGAAAGAAAAGUUUUUAAGAAAAAAAUAAAUGAAAAUUUGACAAUUUUUCACCUUAAUCUGUAAAUAUUUUUCAUUAAUCACUUAAAUGACCCUUUUUUUUUAAAAAAUUUUCACAUGAUAAAGUGGCAUUUGUAAUUAAAUCUAAAUUCAGAAAGAAAAAAAAAGACAAGUUGAAAAGAAUUCUCAAAUUUAGAAAUUAAAUGUUGGUUUACCCCCCCCCCCAAAAAAAACCAGGUUUAGAAAUCAUGCGAAAUUAAAGCAGAAGGACUAAAUCUAAAAUUUAAGCAUAGAAGAAGAACCAAAACAGAAAUUUGGCCCAGGAGUUAACUAACACAUGAAAAACAUAAAUGAUUGAAAUAAUGAAAGGUUCAGUGACCGACAACGUACCAUGAAUAAGAGAGAAGAGGCUGCCAUUUGGGAAAUAAUCAUAUACGAGCAGCCGUUCUUCUUUAGCUUGGAAAUACGCUCUAAGUGGGACCAAAUUAGGAUGUCUCAACCGUCCUAUUAACUCCACGUGCCUCCUAAACUCUUCUGAUCUUGGAUACCUAGCAUCUUUCAACCUUUUAACGGUCACGAUGAACCCAGAUUCCAUCACAGCUUUAUACGUACUCCCCAUUGUACCCCUCCCUAAUGUCUCCGCCGAUGCUUUCAACAAAUCCUCAAGACUGUAACUCAAUUGUUGAUCCCCAGCACCUACAAACACCAAACUCCCUACGCCCUCACUUUCCCAAAACCCUCCGCCGCCACCGCUUCCGCCGUCUCCGCCGCCAUUUCCGCCGCCCUCGGCCUCCACUCCCUCUGCUUCAACAACCCCUUUGUUUCUUUUAACCUCAUUUGUUGACUUAUUUUUCCUUUUAAUGAAAAUAAAACAAAGGAAACACAACAAGAACAAUAAUAAUAACCCACCAACACUUGCUGCUACAACAAUGAUGAUCAGUUUGGUUUUUUUGUUUGAUUUCCGGUUUAAGCUUGGUAAAGCCGGUUCAGUACCGGUUCCCGGACAUGGCUUUUUAACUUGCUCACCACAAAGGGCGGCGUUACCUAAAAAAGACGACGUAUUGAACCGAACUAAAGAUGGGGUUACUGGUAUUUGACCAUAAAGCUGAUUAUUUGACACAUUGAAGAACCUUAAACUUGUUUGGUUCAAUGGUGGAAUCGAUCCUUUCAACUCAUUGUUUUGUAAAUAAAGAGUAUAUAGUCUCUUGAGUUUCAAUAAAGAAAAUGGGAUUUCACCAUUGAUUUGAUUUCCAGACAAGACAAUGAUUUUCAACCGAUGUAAACCCGACAAUGAUAAAGGGAACUCACCAUUGAACUUGUUGUUGUCUAAGUAGAGGAUUUUGAGGUUGACUAAACCUGAAAGGUUAGGUAUUUGACCUGAAAUGGAAUUACCUUUGAAACUCAAUACUCUAAGUUGAUCUAAAAGGUUUAAGCUUGUACCAUUUAAUGAACCAGUUAAGUUCAACCGCUCUAAUACAAGCUUUGUUAUUCUUCCAUCUUUGCAUUCUUUGACACCUUGCCAUGAACAAAGAUUGGUGCUGCUUUGCCAUUGUAAUGAAUUGAAAGGAUCAAUGGUUGAUUUUAAAGCUAAAAGUGCUUCUGCAUCACCUGAUUUAACAAUAGGAACAAGAGAAAGGACAUAGAAGAUGAUGAAGAUGAAGGUUAAAAGAAGAUAGUACCUUGAAGAAAUAAGUUGUUCCAUUUUUUUGAAGCUUUAAAAAGGGAAGAAGAAGAAGAAGAAAGAAAGAAAGAAAUGGGGUUUCUUCAAAUCAACAUCUUUAUGCAAAAAGGAUCAAAAACCCAAUUUUUUUUAACUAAACCUUGAGAUCUGUCAUUGGUCUUACAUGCAUAAGAAACUGUAGAAAAAUAUUGGGUCAUUUUUGACUGAAACUAAGAGACAACAAAGGGGAAAAAAGGUUUUUUAUAUACUUAUAUACAAUGAAAUGAAAGCUUAAACCGGGGGUGGGGGAGCUAUUAGCAUUAAUAGGGUUUCUAAAAUACCACACUAAAAUGCUGAAGAAUCAUUUUUUUUUUUUUUUGGUUUCUCGAACUUGUUAAUCUUGAAAACACUCACGGACAAGGCAGCGUAGUGUUCACGUGAGUUUAUCACAGAACUUGCAGAGAAAAUAAUGAUAAUAAUAAUAGUAUUAACUUUUUUUUACUAUGAUUUUUUUCUAUAUAGCAACUAAAAAAAUAUUAAAUUAAACUAUUUAUACACACUAAGACCAACUUUCUUUUUAAAAGCUUAUUCUUGGGCUUCUCAAAUGUGGUUUAUGACAUAUACAUACAUACAUACAGUGAUAUGCAAAUCACUGAAUGGUGUAAACAGCAAAGACCCAGAACUUAAAAAGCUUAUAGAAAUUCAACCCAAUGCUAGAAAUCAUUCAAACAGUACAAAAUUGGCAAAUCAAUAGGCAAACAAAAGGGCUUUCAAGACAAAAAAAAAAAGUACUACAGCUCAAGUGGUUCUAUGGUGAAUUAGAUCUACUCGUAUUGAAUGUAGUAAUAAUAAUUCAAAGAGAGAUAGGAGAGAGACCGUGUUUAUGAACCAGUGUUUCAGGAGAUAGGUGAAGGGAUUGAAGGCAUAGCAAAGCAAUAUUUUUUUUUCUGGUUUUGGUUUGGAGAGUUUAAGGGUUGGGUUAUUUAAGUAGCUUAUAAUUCAAUUUAAGCCAGUUCAGUUAAAAUGUUGUUAUUUGAUGAUAUAUGUUUUAUUUUAAUUUAAUUGGAACGUAUAAAAAUUUGUAUAUUUCUGGUUUUAGUCCAUUUACUAUACAAAAUUUUGUGAUUCUAUCUCUAUAUUUGGUAAGUUCAAACUGGUAAUAAUGUAUAUAAGCUAUUUCCCUUAAAGUUAUGGAUAUGCAUAAUUCAAUUAAAAUCAAAUUAGUUAGAUUAAUUAGUCUAUCAUUAAAAUUAAUUCGAUCAAAGAUAAAUUAAAUAUUUUAUAAAAAUUAGAUUAUUGAUUAAUUUAAUUUAAAAUAAUUAAAUUAUCAAGAUUAAUAAUAAAUAUUUUAUACUAUAUAAAUGCCCAAUAGAUUGGAACUAUUAAUAGGCUGUGGUACAAAGAAAAAGUUAAAUAGAAUUAAAAUAUAACAAAAAUAAUGACUUAAAAAUGAAAAAUAAAAAUAAAAACCCAACUCCCCUGUGUUUGUCAGUGUUUUUUUUUUUCCUUUCACGCUGCUGAAGUGAACUGGUCCUCCCUUCUUCAGUAGCUUUUUUUUUACCUUAUUUUUCUCUUUUUCAUUUCAAGUUAACCGCAUCAUUUAAUCUUAACAGAUCUUCGAAGCAAAAAAGAAAAAAAAAUAUUUUUCGAAACCCCGUCGAAUUAACUAAAAUUAUUUCAGUUUAGUUAUUUUUGUUAAAAAAUUAUUAACAAUUAAUUAAAUUAACGAUACUACCGAAUCGAUCACUCAAGCAGAGGGAUCAAAACAUUAUCGACCAAUAUUUUAAAAUUUAAAAAAUAAAUUAUAUCAAAUUAAAGUAAAAAAAUUAAAUUAUAAAUUUUAAGAUAAUAGAGGGGCUAAAAACAGAAUUAAUCCAUCAAUACUCCGGACACUGGUCUGACCUGAAACGUGUAAUAAAUAAUAAAUGGAAGACACGUGGCGAAAAGCGUGCUUCAAAAGUAGUCGAAUUCACGUUAAGAGGAGAGAUCGAUGUUUGGUCUGGGCUAGCUGUCACGUUGGCUUCAAGUCAAGAUUGGGUAGAAGUGUAAUUACACAUUUUAUUUUAUUAUUUUUAAUUCACAGUUCGGAGGAUGGUCGUUUUAGGACAAUCCCGACUACCUUGCCGGAAAUCUAGGUGCAGACCAGACUUCAUCAUUGACUCAAACGCAAAUUUUGGUUGAUUUUGUCAACUUUUAAUUUUAUUUAUAUAUUAUUAGGUUGAUUUGCCGCAGUAAUUAAGGCUAAUUAAAAAUUUAUGAGAUCACUAAAAUUAAAGACAAAGCUAUAGGAUAUGUUACCGUGUAACCCAGUCGAACUUGGAUAGUGACAAUUCAAGUUUAACUUCAACUUAAAAUUGGUUACCCGUUAACCAAUUUUCAUACGAGCUCAUUCAUAAUUAAUAAAAUUUUAAUUUUAUACUUAAAAAGCUUAACUAAACUCAUAGACCAUUUGAAUCGAUGCUCAAAAUUGAUCCGACUCGAACUCGACAAUAAUUACCAAAUCAAAUUCGAUUUUAAAAAAAAAAUCGAACUCGAAUAAUAAUUUACAAACAUUGAUGCGUUUGUUUACAUCCCUAAAAACCACUCUUACCACUUUCGGUAGUCCACCUCCAUGGUGAAAAACACACACUUCAUCCCAAAUGAAAGCGACUAAAUGCAAGAAAGAGUUGGGUGAAGAGAUCCCAACACCCAAUACAAUAACCCACAAUAGUAUUCCCAUGAACCAUAUUAAACCUAGCUCCCCCGGUGGGCAAAGAUUUCUAAAUCCAGCCCCAUCUGAAUUUAAAUUAUAAAAAACAUAUGAAAAUAAAUUAAUAAUUUUAACAUAUAUUUUAAAUUUCAAUCGUAAAAUACAUAAAUAUUAAUAUAAUUAUAUUUUUAUUAAUUUAUUAUUUUUAAAAUAAUAAAAUGAAUUCUCUAUGGUCAAGCCCCUAACCUAACACUUCUAAACCAAAUCAAAUUAAAAAUAAAUCAAUUUAUUAAUCUGAAAACCGAAAAAUCCGCUUAGAUUGGGGUAAAACUAUAAUGAAUUUUGCAAUACAGUUGAAUUUAUCAAUAUAAUCCAAUAUCUUUAUUAUACUAAUCUAAAAUAUUAUCUAUGUUCUAGAUCUAGAAAAUGAAAUGGUUUGAUGGUUAAAAUAUUGUUAAAAUAUAAAUAGGCAAUUACACCUUAACUGAAGCCCUCCGUAUAUGUGUAUGUAUAAGGCUUGGCUAAGACUUAGAAUGGUAGGUUUUUGUUCUAUCAACAAGUCAACCUUCAGGCUUCUAUAUAUUGCUGUUCAAAGUAUAUUUAAUAACCCCUUCCAUCUCUCAACUCAACUCAACUCUAUAUAUUGACUCAGCAAUUACACCUUAACUGAAGCCCUCCCCAUAUGUGUAUAUAUAAGGCUUGGCUAAGACUUAGAAUGGUAGGUUUUUGUUCUAUCAACAAGUCAACCUUCAGGCUUCUAUAUAUUGUUGUUCAAAGUAUAUUUAAUAACCCCUUCCAUCUCUCCACUCAACUCAACUCUAUAUUUUGACUCAGCAAUAUCAAGCAUCAAAGCACAUCAACUCUAUAAAUCAAGCAUGUGCAAUCAAGUCCGGUAUGUCUCAUAGUUCUAUAUGUUUUAGGUUCAUCCAUGUAUUCAGCAAGAUCUUUACAUACAUACAUAUUUACAUGCAUACAUACAUAAAUUACAUAUAUAUUAGUACAUGCAGGAUGUUGCAAAAUGGUAUCGAUUUCUCAUCAGAACCUACAAACUUCCUUUAGACAGAUUAAAAGUUUGUAGAAUUCAUGUACCUAUUUUGCUUCGUCUGCUCUCUUUGCAGGGUACAGAAGGCAUGUCUUAGCAUCGAUUCUUGCAGUUUUUUCUUCCUUGUGUGUCACUGUUGACCUGCAUAGAUCAGUGUAUCGGAUGAUACUGAGUAAUACCUCGUCUUGGUGGCAACUUCCGUAAAAUGAAAAGGACCAAAAUUGAAGGUAAUAUCUCCACCAACUGCCCAAUAAAAGAAAACAAAACGAAAAGAGAAAGUUUCUGAGGAUAGUUGAACGCCAUCUUUGUAAUCAACAUCAAGAAACAACAUUAAAAUACUUACAUAUAUAUAUAUAUCAUCAAUUUCAGUAAUUCCUCUCCAUUUUGGUAGCAAAAUAGAAAAAAAAGUUCAGUCAGUUUUCUUUCAAUUUCCCCUAUUUUAGAGAGCUACAUAUAUAUAUAUACUUGUUCAACAGAGAAACCUAGAAGUUAGCCUCUAGCCUUUUAUAUAAACAUAAGCAGUUAAAAGAAAGAGAAAAGAAUUAGCAAGACAUGAAGAAAAUAUUAUUAACUGUACUCUCAGGUAAAAUUAUUAUCCCUAAAGUUCGAGAACUAGUUUACAAAUAAUGAUAAUAAAGUCGCAACUCACAACUGCAUCUAAAAAUUUCUUCCACAUAACAAUCUGAUGGCAAAGUCUUAUAAAUUGCUUACGAAAUUUAUUGAAAUAUGCAUUAAAUUUAGCAGCAAAAUAAACAAGGAAACAAGGAAGUGGCAAUCUUCUCAGUUUUCCUAUGGCAAUGAAAAGGGUUAAGCAACCUCCACACUGAAUUUCAAUAUGAUUGUUUCAAUCAUGAGAAACUUAGAAACAUGAAGAAAUAUUUAUUAAACAUACCAGGUAAUAUAUGAAGUUUAGAACUGGAUGGUUCAGAACAUUAAGAUCAGCAGCUUUAUCAAAUGCAUCAAAGCACAUCUAAAACAAAAAUUAACAAUGGAGCUCAAAUUAGCAAACGCUUUGGACAAACAUCAUCAUAGAUGAGCAAAGUCCAAGAUAUGAAAUUCAGUAAGAUGCAUACUACUUUAUCACCAUUGAAUAGAUCAACAAUUUAAACCAACUAGCAGCUAAGGUUCAACUAAAAUGCUUUCAUUUUGAAACAGAAGUGCUAUAACAUUAUGGGAAAAUAUCUGGUACACUGCAAGUGGAGUUUUUAGAAUCCACAAGCAGAGUUAGAGGGCUGACAAGUAUCAUACAGAGGUAUAGUAAAAUAUUAAAAAAAAAACACGUGGAAAUUUUUUAGGGUUGCUUAUGCAAUAAAAACAAAUACACUGCCAGUGUACCAAAUACUAACCCUAACAAUAUACAUACCUAAAAGUUUCACAAAAGCCUAACAAAACGUGUAGUAUUGUCAAUUUGAGAUUUGUAGUGUUAGUAAAGCCAGAAAGGAGAUUAAUAAUCUACCAUAAUGCAUCUGACUAGGAAACAUGAGGAGCAUAUGACAGUCACAUAACCAACCUGCCAAAUAAAAAAAGAAAUAACAAUAAAAAAUUGUAAAUAGAAGGUCAAAUUGUUGUACUUAAAAACCACAUCUACUUCCAAAGUAAAUAUGUACUUCUUGCAGCUUAUUUUGUCGCCCUUUGGACUCUACAGGGAAUCGCUGCAACAUUAAGAAAAGCCUGCAAGGAUUGAACUUAUUACAUAUACAUAUACAUAUACAUAUACAUAUACAUAUACAUAUACAUAUACAUAUACAUAUACAUAGAGAGAGAGAGAGAGAGAAUUUCAAGGUAUAUAUAUAGUAUGGUUACAAUGUUCACUUACAAAUGAAUGGGAGAAACUGUAAUUACGGCAUAAAUGAAAUGAAUAGAACAAAAAGGGUCAGCCAUAAUUUUCUCUGGGAAGUACCAAAUAAACAUGAACUAAUUUAUCAGCAAAAAAUAAUAACUGUUCCAUAACACUGUUGCCAACUGAAUUAUCAAUGAUGAGCAUAGAUGUUAGAAUAUAGGUGGUUGAGGAUGUGUGGACACGUGAUGUGAGAGGGACAUUAUCACACCUAGAUAGCUCUCAUGCAUUUAAAACACUUAGCAACAGUACAAUAUAUGGCAAUAUUACCUUCCACCAUAUAGUAAAAACCCAAGGGCUGCGAACAAUGAGACACCUGCCCAUUUACGUAAGUCAGGAUCAAAAACUUCCAUUCAUUAUUGAAAUAACAUGCGAUUGCUAUCCAUAAAGGAUUAUUAAUUACCAAGUGAUUGCCCAUAAUAAAUCUAUAGAGCGUCCAAAGUUAAAAGUUAAUUGUUAAAUGUACUAAGGACACAACAACUACUUACCUGCAAAGAACAUCUUCGAUAUGAUGACCAAAACUGGGAUAUACUUCCACCAUAAUACCAGCCACAUUGCAAUCUGAAAUCAAUUCCACCCCCCCCCCCAAAAAAAAAAAAAGCAAAUAGAAAAGGGAAUUUUAUUAACACCUCGUCACACUUCCAAAUAAAGUCAAGUAUCCAACACUUAAAACAUGGUUGACAAAAUGACUGAAGUUGCUAGGAUGAAAAAACAAUGUACCAUAGGUUCAAAUUUACUACUAAAAUCUGCAAAAGGUGCAAUUUACAUCCUAGUCACUGUUCUAGUAAAGGAAAUAUUAUCUUCUAACCUAUCUAACACCUUAACAAGUUUUUUUUAUGGUUUAAGUCUCAUCUGACCAGCUCAUGAUUAAUAGAGGCCAGCAUCAGGGUAGCUUGUUGGCAAUAUUCCAGCAGAAGAAACUGUGUAACAUAAUAAGCAAAAGGAACCUAUUGCUAAAACAUAAAUAUGCAGUGUGCACAGGUCCAAGUCUCAUUUACUAUAGCAUCACACAUUAUUUAAGUAUAAUAUAAUUAAUGAGAAGUUCCAACCAGGUUAAAGGUACUGUGAAAAGAAAAUCUAAAAAAGAAUGGUUAAAGGUCAGAGACUAAUUGCCAAAGGAACAAAGUGCUAACAGAAAUGGAAUACUGAAGCACUAUUAGCCAUCCAACUCCAUUGCUGAAGCAUCUUAGAUGUGAUGUCUCAAAAUCAUGACUAACAACAGUUGGACAAGAGUACAGCUAAAAAAGAGAAGAGGACAAAUUGAAACAUAAAACACAAGCCAUUUCAUUUAUCGUUUUAGUAUAUUGAUAGCUGGGACUAUAAAUGUAGGUGCCAAACUCAACUGACUUAAUGGAGGCAAUAGCUAUGAGAAAGAACUUCAGAGUAUGACAUAACAACCAACACCAAGAAACUUCUGACAGAAGAUAACAGGUUUAACUUAUUAGAGGUUUAUAUAACAUAUGAAUGAAAAGAGGCACAAAUGCCUUGUACCUUAAAUAGAAUUGCGCUAACAAUUGGCAUAAUAACUGAAGUUUGAUAGAAAACAGGUACAGGAAUAGAACAAACUACUUAUUCGCAAGAAAUAAGGAGGUGACUCAAGGUAUACUGUAGCAAGUUCGUAACUUCAAAUGUAAAAAUUAUUCUGGACAUAUGCAGCAAAGCGGUCCUAAACAGACCAAUUUUAACCAUCCCAAAUUUGCCUUUUUACUUGUUGCUAAAAUGUGUCUUUUGUCUUUAAUUAAAGACCCCAAACCCCAAUAUUUAUCUCAUAAAUAUGAAAAAGUUCUUUAAUUGGACCCUUGAGUAUUACCUAGCUUGAUUCUCAUAUAAUGAAAGAACUAAAACAGAUAUUAGUCUACCGCAAUCUUGUCACGUGGAGGACGAUAUUUAGACUCUCCCUCCAAGGAGAAGGAUGAAAAAUAAACAUUAGCUAAAUAAAUAAUUAAGCAAAACUAUAUACGACCGCUGUUUUUUUACAGAACAUGACUAGCUUCCAUUUUCCAAUAGAAAUAAUACAACUUCAAAUUCCUUUCUGUACGCACUUAUAGAAAUAAUAGAGCAUAUGUUUCACCUGAAUGGAAUAAACUGCCACAUUUAUUGUAAAGAAAAUUGGCCUCAGUCCAUCAGUUGACUCGGCACGUGCCUGUUUUAAGAUGGGCAGGGUUUAGAUAAAGCUAAGUAAUUCAAAACAAGAUAGACCAGGGCCGCAAGGCAAACUUUCAAAUAAGCUAACCUGGUAGUAGAUCUCAGCCCAAAACAAAACCAAAAGUGCAUAUGUCGUGAAGAACACUAGACUUGGCAUGUCCAGCAAGAUGUGUCGAACGAUCUAAACAAAAAUGAAAGUAAGCUACCUUAAGCAACAAAUUUUGAAUCAUUGAAGCCCGAGUAUAUAUAAAAAAGAAAACAAAAUGCGCAAUCAUUUAUCACAAACCUCUGGAUGUAAGUCCUGCACAUUCCGCCUGAAAAUAAAAACUAGCCCACGAACUGUCAUAUGAACAAAAGCACGAUAAAUACACCAGAAUAAGAAUAAGUAUAAGAAUCCGCGAAAAAAAAGUGAUAAACAAAAAUUUCCUGAUACAAACCCCCAUUCACAAGAAAAUUUAGAAAAUGGAAGACCUUCUGCGUGGUCCAACCGAAUUCGGGAACUCUCAAUUGUAUCCGUACCAAUUGAACCUAUAAACAUUAACAAAUAAACGAGUUAAGAACAAAGAUGGUAGCAAUUAAUCGCUAAAGAGAAUCUUCAUACAUUAUAUAAAAGUACUACUAAAAAAUAAUCUUUACUGUAAGCUAUCAUCAUGCAUCAAUGUUCCUAGGCAACUCGAUCAAACAGAGAUAAACCCUAAUUACUUACAAACAAAAAGAAAAUAAAAGAGGAACGGAAAAGAAAGGGAAGGAGAGGCCGUACGAGAGCAAUGACGGCGACGAGGCCAUAAAGGGCGGUGAGAAUGUGAAAAAUGCGGUCCUGCCAGAGCGGUGAAUCGUUAAUGUCGUGCCACCAAUUGGAUUCGCCGUUCAGAUUGUACGGUAUCACCGCCUCGUCGACGCCGUAAAGACCCAUCAAAAUCUCUCUCUCUCUCUUUCUGGUGUUUUUUUUUAAUUGAAUUUCCAAAUUUAAAAAUAAUGAAAGCCGAAGCAAACAAACACCGCCGGCGCGAAACAAGGUGGUUUUUAAUUUCAUGUGGAGGGUACCGGCAAUACCCGGUAACAAACUUGCACGAUGACCGCAUUUCUCAUCUUACGUGUCGUUUCAAAUGAUCGCCACUUCACGCGCUAACACCACGUGGCAUGGCAGAUAUGCUAUGGGCAAAAUGAAUGACGCCUAUAUAAUAUAUACUAAAGGUGAUUGUGACUAGACAUGUUGAGUUACGUUCAAAAUUUAUAAAGGAUUUUUAAAAAUAGUAAAAAAAAUUAAUAUAGUAUAUUUAUAGUUAAUUAUUAAAUUGUCAUAAAAAAACAUAAAAUUAUUUAUUACAUAUAAUUAAUUUAAAUUAAUUUUUAUAUAUUAUGUAAUUUAUAAUACAUAAAAAUUAAAUUUAUAGUAAUAUAUAAUAUUAUUAUAAUAUAAAUAUUAAAAAAUUUAAAAUAACAAUAUAAAUUAAUUAAAUAAAUAUAAAUAAAUAUUUUUUAAAUUUAAAAAAAUAAUAUGAAUGAGUCCAAAAUAGGCUUUAGUUAACCAUUUACAAAUAUGAGCGUGUUUAGGUACAAUUUUAGGCCUAUAUUUAGGGUCGAGCUUGGUUAAGGUAAACAUAAAGUGUGUUAAUAUCAUGCUUAGAUCAAUCUUGAACCUGACCCGAAUCGACCCAUGAACACCUCUAGUUUGAUUUAAGUUGACUUGGUUUUAUGUAAUUGUAUUAAGAAUUUGGUUUAUAUAUUUGUAUGACUUUAUUAAUUUUAGAAUAUAUUUUUUAUUAAUAUGUUCUAUUUGGGUAUUUUAUUUUUUCCUUUAAUUAUUAAAAAAUUAUUAAAUUUAUUAUUUUAUAGAUAAUUUUUUUAUUGAAAUAGAUAUGGUUUAACAUUAAAUUUAUAAUUAAUGAUAUUAGUAUGCAUAAUAAGUCAUGUUUAAUCAUUUGUAUUAAGUAUAAUACUACGUAUUAUUAAAUCCACAUAUUAUGUGAUUAUUAUUUUAUAUUAUCAUUAAAUUUAAAUUUUAUAGAUUUUAAAAAUUAUUAUUUUAUAUAUUUGUAGUGUUUAAAAAUAUUUUAUAAUUUAACAUAAGAAUCUAUUGUUAAUUAUUUUUGCUAUUAAUAAAUUUUUAAUAAUACAUUAUAAAAUAAAUAAUUAUCAUUUAUUUAUAUUUUUUUAUAUCAAGUAAUAUCAUAUAAUAUAAUUAUUAAUAUCUAUUAUGAUUGUUCAUAUAUAAAUUGUAGGUUUUUCAAGUUUUUGGGUUGGAUUCAUCUCAGAUUUAAGUUGAAAAUUAAUUUUGAACUCGAAUGCUUACAAACUCAGACUUUCUCGAGCUUUUGAAAUUUUUUAAUUUUAAGUUUUCUCGAACUCGAAUGUCGUUACGAGUUCGGACCUAUUUUUCUAACUCUAUCGACCCAUAAAAUAUUAUUGUUUUUUUAUUUUCAAAAUAUCGAUCCUCAUUCUAACAUUUUUUUUUUACUUCUUAAUUUCAAUAACAAAUGACUGUGUGUGUCACGCUAAUUCCUUGACAGUCGCACCAUGCUGGCAAAGAAGGGGCAUCAGAUUCUUUGUUUAUAUAAAGAAAAAUGGAAUAUAACUUUCUUUUUUCUUUUUGUACGAAAGGGUAUAACUUGUUUUAACAUACAAGAAAACAACAUCAUAUCAUGUGUGUAGAGAAUUUGGGUUUAUACUUUGGUUCAAAUUGCUCUAAAUUCUUGUACUUUUCAUACAUUUAGAUUUUAGUCCCUAUAACUUUCUCUAUUUUUUUAUAUUUAAAAAUGUAAAUCUAACUAUUAACAUUGUUAUAUAUCAUCCUUUGCAUGGUUACCACGCAAAAGGCAA
Molecule: long non-coding RNA, 55735 nt
Filed under: Gossypium barbadense (sea-island cotton)
Lineage: Eukaryota; Viridiplantae; Streptophyta; Magnoliopsida; Malvales; Malvaceae
Description: long non-coding RNA (GBAR_LNC003539)
Source: RNAcentral